This 50288-nucleotide long non-coding RNA is filed under the name Citrus maxima (pomelo). RNAcentral describes it as "long non-coding RNA (CMAX_LNC001401)". Lineage: Eukaryota; Viridiplantae; Streptophyta; Magnoliopsida; Sapindales; Rutaceae. The record is from RNAcentral.
CGACUUAAUAAGAUUCGUCAGGAACUCCAUUUACCAAUAAGGUCCAACACCAACACAGGAUCUGCUAACAGGUGCUGUAGGAUUAAAUGCUGCCAACCCAAAUGCCAAGAAUGUCCAAAACUUAGUUGCACGAAAUGUUGCUGGAAACCUAAAUGGCCAACAUGUUGGAUACCAAGCUGUGUCAACUGUUGCCGGUGGCCUAAAUGUCCAAAAUGUUUGAGACCCUGCUGCUGCAUUCCAAAAUGUUUGAGACCCCUCCGCUGCACUAAUUGUUUUAACUGGCAAUGCUGCUGCACUAAGUGUUUUAACUGGCAAUGCUGCUGCACUAAGUGUUUUAACUGGCGAUGCUGCUGCAUCGAAACAAAUAGUGGGUUAAAUGGAAAACAGGAUGGGUAAUGGUGAUAAUGUAGUUGUAUAGACUAUAGAUUGCUGAACUUGCUAACACCUCUUUAUUAUUGUGCAAUAGUGUACAAAACAAGAGGAAGUAGUUAACUGAUAAUUUUAUUAAAAACAGAACAGUUUAAUGUUAUCAAGAUAUUGGUGGAUUCUUAUAGGUGUUAUACGUUUUAUGUGAAGUCUGUUGAAGUUAUUUUGCAAAUUGAGUUAUUCCAGAGGCACAUAACAUUUUACAUAUGUUUUGCUAUUAGGUUUGAAAUAUUUCUUAAUUUUCUAGUUGCAUGUCAUAAAAAACGGUAGCAUUCACUUUGAAUGCUUUUGCGAAACCUGAGUAAUGAUAUCAACUCGUAUUCUUGUACAAACUAUUGUGGCAUUGAUGAGUGAGCAACUAUAUUAUUAGCAAAAUCUCUAGAGGGGAAGUAAGAUUUACUAGUUUCAAACUUCGUUCGCAUGUAUGAAUUGAGAAUUUAGUUGUUAUUAUAUAUAUUAUACCUAUAUAAAAGUUCACAACAUUUUCAUCGAACCUAAUUGGUAAUCAGUAAGAAAGUGCAAUAAAAUCAGAGUAGAUUGAGUUUAUUAAAAAAGAAGAAAAAAAUGUAAUGUUACUUAUCUAACCACUAACAUCCAUCCGAACCACACCCAGAUCAAAAUAAAUUUAAAAAAAAAAAGUCAAUAUGAAGAAUUUAAAUAAAUUUAGUCCGAUUGAGGUUAGAUGGUGGAGUGAGUACUAUUUUUGAACAAAUUUAUAUUAGAUCUAUAAAGUUGAAAUUCAAAAUUUACAUCUUAAUUGAUGUGUUAUACAUUAAUUAUUAUUAUAAAAUUAUUUUUAUUAACAAUAAUAAAAGUUAUUAUUUUUAUGAACCACAUGACGGCCAUUAUAUGGUGACACUUCAUUUUGAGUACAAAAUUUUUGUCCUAAUCCUAACUUCGUAAUCCUAGUGUUAUUACUUACAGUUUAUAGAGGGAAAAUUGCAUGUCAAUUUUAGGCUUUUUUUUUUUUUUUAAUCUUAAAAGAAACCGCCAAAAUUUACCUUCCUGAGUAAGUUAACUAAUUAAUAAAUUUGAAGAAGCUGUUACUAACAUAGCUGAUCUGAACCGUUGGAUUAGAAGACAAAAAUCCAAAGGCUGUGGAAAUAGACCUUGGAGAAGGGGUAAAGAGGGAGUGGACAGGGUUUAAAUUAAGAGAAUUUAUUGUCGGUGAAAAAUUUCAGGCUAUUGUGGCUUAAAUCAGUAAGGAGGAAAAGAUUAAGAAAGUAUGAAAGCUUAGCUUAUAGGAAGCGCUAGCUAGCAGCUAAAGGAGAGCUGUUAUUAAUUAUCAUGCUGGAAAAUGAGUAGCUCAUGGGAAGAAAUGACUAAGAAAUAUGAAGCAGUUCUACGUAAUGAUGAUUUAAGUGUAAUGGAGGUGCCAUCAUUGCCAAACCUAAAGCGUAAGCCAAGUUGGCAUGAAGCUGGUGACCGUGACCACGACCAAGGCCAAAUUAGCACAGAUGACACCCAAGGCAAAAGUUGUAGCACUACGUAUGGUUUUAUAUCUUAUUUGUAAGUAAUGUCGAUCGUGAUUGCAAAUUAUUAUUAUCAUUUUUUUUUUUUGGGAUAUGGGUCACGAUGAUCAUGUUGACUAUAAGUUUGCCCCCAGGGGCCUGUCAAGUGGCUUUCAAGUUCGAGCAGCUAUAUUUGAUUGGUGACUAGAUUUCGAAAAUUUUGAGAAAAUAGGGAAAAAAAAUUGUAUUUAUAUGUUUACUUUUGUGGUUUAUGCAGUGGAGAAGCUGUUCAGAAGAUAAAGGCCAAGGAUGCAAGAGCGCGCAUCACCAAUGAGGUGAGUUUAAGAGGGUAAAAAAAUUUAUGUCAAAAUACAAAGUGCAGUGAAAUUAUUUCGGGAGUCUGUUGAAAAUACCAAACCUUUUGUGAUGCAACUGGCGGGGUUAACUAAUGGAUAUAUUGUAACGAAUUGAAUGCAGAUGAGAAAAGAAAUUGGAAUGGCCUUCAGGAAUCUGCCGCCUGGAAAGAAGUGCAAGUACACACGCGUAGGCCAGGGAGCGGUGGCGCAUGUUAAAGGGGAGAAACCGAAGUUUGUAUCAAGGUGUGUGCCGAAGCGAUUUGCGGUAGUGGUUGCCAACCUGACGGCGGAACAAAAAGCUGCUGCAUGCUCUUUGGGAUUUGGUAAACUUAUUGAGUUAAAUUGUGGUCGGUUGAAAAAAAAAUUAUGUGAUUGGUUAGUAGACAGGGUUGAUAUUGCAAGGUCGACUUUAUUAGUUCAUGGAAAGGAGUUGGAGCUUAGUCCACAGAGUUUUGGGUAUGUAAUGGGGAUCUCAGACGGAGGAAUGCAUGUGGAAUUAGAUGGGGACAAGAAAGAAGUUUCCGGAUAUUUAGAUAGGUUUGAUGCAACAUCUAAUGGUAUAAACAUUAAGAAAUUGGCUGAAAUGUUACGCGAGUCAAAGCAAGCAGAUGAUGAAUUCAAAGUCAUAUUCACACUAUUUACACUUCAUUCAAUGCUCUGUCCGACUGGUGGAGUGAAUAUAUGCUCGUCCUUCCUAUUGUCGAUCAAGGAUGUUAACACAAUCAGGUACAGGAAUUGGGCAACCUUCUGCUUUGGUAGGCUUAUGCAAGGAAUAAUGAGAUACAAGCAAGAGAAACUUGCACAUAUAGGAGGAUGUUUACUGUAUCUGCAGGUAAGGUCGAAUGAAUGAGUCAGCCCUUUUGCUUUGCUAUUGAAUUUUGCAUGUAUUUAUUUAAUUUCUUAAGAACUUGUAUGAGGUGGCUCAAUUAUAUCCAAUGGCAUAGCGUAACGAUUGAUGCAUAUUCGCGCAGAUCUUGUACAUAAAUUCUGUAGCGUAUUGGAAAGUACAAAGAGACUCAUCGAUGUGUCCUGUUGCUUUAUGGAAUGCAAAGGAGAUCCAAAGAUUUAUGAAGUGGUUGGAGAAGCAAGGAGGCAUUGGGACGGACAAGGUAUGUGAAUGCUAUGGCUUAAUUUAGGUUGGUAUAUAUAUGGUAGUAGCUUAAAAUAGUUGAGAUGAUUAGUGCAAAACGAGGAGGAGCCUCUCUUGGCUUAAAAGCGGCCAGGCUUUUCUCUACUUUCUUUUUUUUCUUUUCCUAAUCAUUUGAUUGUCCUAAAAAUCUCUUGAGUUUCUAAAAUUUUAAAAUACUAGCUUUUGGCUUUCUUUCCUUAUUUCUUUCUUUAUCCUUUUUCUCUCUCUUAAAAAUCAGAGUUUAUCUUGUAAAAAAUAAAAAUAAAGCAGAGUUUAUCAUUUAGGUUAAAAUAAUUUCUCUCAUCUCCCAUUUCUUAAUUUCUUUCAGAAAGCCUUUGCUUAAUUUGAGUACGUUUUGUUUUUAGCUUUCUAAUUCAUUAUUGCAUAAUCCAAGAAUUACAUUUUCCUUAUCUCUAAAAUGUCUUGAGAAAACUGGGCAAACUAGUGUAUUGAUUUUGAGGAAUUACAACUAAAUUUUAACGUUAUCUAUGGAAAACAUGACUUAAUUCUAAGACUUGUUACUUGCUACGAUCAUCCACAAUGAUUACUAUAUGUUUUAUUUCAUUUUGUAUUUAUUUAGGUUAAUUUCGAAUUAUCCUUCAUAAAUUGAUUAUCUUUAAAUUUUUCCCUUAUUUUUUAAAAACUUUAAUUUACCCCCCAUUUUUAUUAAGAAUACAAAAAAAGACAAAAAAAUUCAUCAACCCACCAGUCCACCACCAUUUUUCCCCUAUCUUUUGAACAAAAAUGGGGAUAACUUGAUGUUUUCAAAAGUAAAGGGAUAAUUUAAAAUAGUCAAUUCAUAAGAGGAUAAUAUGAAAUUUAUCUUUUUGGGUUUUUCGUUUUCUUUGAUCUAAUAAUUAAUCUAAUGGUCAAUUAAUUUUACUUUACCUUAGGAUCAUGGAGUAUUCUACUUCUACUCUUUAGGUUUAACCUUUAAGUGUAAGAUAGCUACAAUCUAAACUAGCACUAUUAUCAAUAAUUAAAGUCUUCAAAAUUAUUUGAGCAAAUUGAUGGGUUUUGUUUGGGAGUUGAUCCUUGAAAUGCCAAAAUUAUACUUUAAAACCAACUUGUUUAUCAUUAAUCCUUUUUAUUUUGCUUUACUUCUUGUUACAACUAAGUUGAGUCGUAUAACAUUUGGUACUAGCUAGAGCUGGACAACAGAUCAGGGAACAAUCCCAGCGAUGAAGUCACAUACAUAAAAUGGCGGAAUUUAUGAUUCCUAAAUAAAAGGAAUUUUCCAAAAGGAUUUUUUUAUACAAGAGAGAUGAAAUAUCAAGAGUGUGUGGGAUAAAAGAAGUCAUGCAUCCAUCAAGCACUAAAAUUAGUUAUGAAAAAUACAGUACUCAACGACGAGAAGACUUUAGUUUCAAAAUGGUGUGCCUUGAGAACAAGGUAUUUUUAAGACAAUGAUAUCCUUAAGAGAGAGAAUGAUGCGGUCAUUCACAAUAAUUCCUAGAUAGUUUAUUUUCAUUUGUAUUUAUCCUUUUCGCUGUUCUAUUUAUACCUUAUCCCGUAUUUUACUCUUAUUCUUUAGUUGUAACUAGUUACUAUUUAAACAAGCACUAUCAGCAAUAAGUUUCUUCAUAACUAUUUUAAAAGUUAGGUAAAUUGUAUUUGGGAGGUGUUGGUUCCUCGAAAUGCCAGUAAAAACCUCGAAUCAAACUGCAAGACAUGCCUUACUUUGAGACAAAAUCUUUAAGGAAGGAGUAUUAGUUGUGCAAUAAUAAUAAAAAUCUAGCUUUGUAACAUGUAGAGAUGAUGAGUAGUAGGUUUCAGACUUUCAGGAUAUAUAUCACACUCGUUUUCAUCCUAAAAUAAUUCAAGAGGGCUUGAAAUGCUUUUUAGGGAAACUUUUUUUUAUGACGUUUGAGUAUUAUGACUCACGACAUUCUUAUAAGUAAAUUAAUUGUGAAAAUCAUUCAAAGCUCCCUUCUAAAGAAAUAUUAGACUACCAUUAAAGGUCUUUAUCAAAACUUAGACUGAGAGCACCAUCCUGGACCAAAAAUAGAAUUAUGCUAGUAGAAUAUCUGUACACAGUACACUGCUAAAUGUUCAAUGUAAAUUCGGAAGAAGAAAAAAUUAGCAACAUCGUACAUUUAGAAUGUUCUUAAAUUAUGACCGAGUAUUAACUAGAUAAAUCACUGAAAGUAACAUGUAAGGCGUAAGCCAUGUAUGGAAUUUAAACCAACAAGUAUUGAUUGAAUAUAUUUGGACGAAAUUUAUAAUUUAAUAAUUUUUUUAAUGUAUAAACCACCGAAAGUGCUAUGUAAGCCACGUAUGGAACUUGUUUUAUUUUAUUAUUUUUUUCAAGCCUCAACUAGUGAGACAACUUUAUUGAAGAUAAAUAAUAAUAUACGCGUACUCAAGGGACAUAGAUGAGAUAAAUUUAUUGAAAAUAAACAAUAAUAAACUCGUGCUCAAUGGGACAUAGUGAGCCCUAUCCCAGAAAAGAUAGAUCGCAAAAUAUUAAAAAGAAAAAAAGGUAGAAAGAACAAUUUUAAGAGAAGCAAUAACAGGAAAAUCUAUUAGCAUCAUCAGAAAAAAACCUAGACAUCUCAUUAGGUGGAUUAAAGUGACGUAUGGAAUUAACACCAUGUAUUUAAUGAAUAUAUUUUGAUGAAAUUUAGAGUGAAGUAUUUUUGUUUAUGUAUUGAGCGUCCUGUAGAUUGAUAAUAUCUGGAUGGAAAAUUGUUGUUCUUGUUGUAGUUGUUGUUGUUGUUGGCAUUUUUUUUUUGUUUGUUACGGCUGAUAAUCCUAGGAAUACGGUAAAUGCAGGUUGCAUUGGGAGAGAAAACAAAAGGAGGUGAGAGAGAAAGUGGGGAAAGUAGUAAAGUUGUAAUUAGAGAGGCUAAAGAAAAACAGAGCGGCGAAGAGGGCAGAGCAUGGAAUGCAGAUGUCGUCUGGUUGUAUUCCCGGAUCCAUCAUAUCAAUCAAGUUACUGCUGAGAUUCUUGAACACAUCACGGUGAUGAAGUGUCAUUAAAAAGAUUUAUGAAACGUGUGUACUCGUAGUGACAAUGUAUUGAUGGAUGUAUUGUCUUAUUGAAUGAUGCAGCAGGAUUUAAGGAUGUGUAAGAAAAUGAGUGUGUCGUCAACAGGCAAGACUCCAAUGAAGGAGGCUGCGGAGAUGCUGGUGGGCUUGGCCAACAGUCCACCCAUAGAGGAGACAAGGCCAUGUACUCAUUUUACCGGUUUCAGGGUUGGGCCAUUUGUGCUGACGCAACCUGUGUCUGAUGUCGAGAUGAAGUUGAUUGAAUACAUGAUGAAUGAAGAUCUGGACCAAGGGUAAGGAAAAUGAAAAAAAAAGCAAAAAAAAGUAUGAGUUACUUGGAUGCUUUUGUUGAUAAUUUAUUUUGGUUUGUUAAUCUGUGGCGGGUGUUUUUAUUGUUUAACGUGUUGUUUAUAAUUUGUUAUGUAUAGGGAAAUUAUCGUGCAAACAAAAAUGAAUUGGUUGAGUAGGAUAGAAAUGUUGUCGCUCUAUCCAAAAAGAUGGAUACAUGGCGCGGUGAGUGAGCGUAUCGAGUAUAUUAAUUUUUGUGCAUGGUGUCCAAAGGUUCCAUGAUAUGUUAUUUGAAUCAGCUAGUGCUCUCAUUGUGCUGAAAUUCAUGGUUGCAUUUGCAGAUAAUUUCGGUGGUGGCUGAGACUCUUUCGAAUAAUGAAAUGAGCAAAGGGGAUAAAAUGAAGCACAACUGGUUCCUUCCAACCUAUUUUGCUGUAUGCAGUAGUCGUUUUGAUUUGAUUUGGAAAUACUGUGUUAUAAUUCAUUGUUGGCUCAUUUCAUCUGACCUUAUUUGUGCAUUGGACUCAGCAAAAGGUUCUGCAUGAAAAAUGUGAUAUCGAGAGCCUAGACCGAAUGAGGGACUUGUUUAAGCAUAACCUGGCAUUUUGUGAGAAGGUAUAUGUUGUGAUAAGUGCAACAUCUUGUGACGAGCAAGUUAAAAUAAUUUUAUGUCGACGAAAAUAUGAGCGUUGAUUGAUUUUUAUGCGCAGAUUUUUGUUCCAAUAAAUCAUGGGGCAUCGCAUUGGUAUGUUGUCGUUUUGGAUAUACCAGGCAGUUCUGUUUUGAUAUGGGAUCCGCUGCCAAGUGACAUGAGAAAAAGCGCUUUGGUAGGAGAUGCGAAAAAAAUCGUGAGUAAAAUUGAUCCUAGAUUUGUAAUGUAUAAAUUGUUAAAAUUCAAGAGGUUUCUUAACUGAUAGUGUUUUGCGUGAAAUUAUGAUGUUGCAGUUGAGGGCGCUUGAUGAGCUUUUGAUGGUUGAUAUCAGACCUGCUUCCGGUUUCGGAGGUCUCUAUUUUGAGAGUUUUCGUGUGAUGCAAGGUACUACAGGGCUUUCGAGACAACCAAAUGGAUAUGAUUGUGGCCUUCAUGUCAUUCGGUUUAUGGAGUGCCACGGCAAUGUACGAGAGCUAGACUUCAAGGUGAGUGGCCAAACGAUGUCGUUAAGUCAGUUGUAUUAAUUAUUGCAAAGGAGGUUAUUGUAUAAUAUUUUGCUUACAAAGGAAAGAAUUAAUUUUGUAAAUUUACAGCAUGAUUCGGAUGAAGCUAGGAAAAACCUGGCGAUUCAGUUGGUGACUGCCGAGGGCAACAUGUUAAAGGUCAAUGUGAUGCAAAGUGCUUCGCAGUUUUCAUUCGCGGAAUGAGGCCUAAAAGACUAGAAGUACUAGAAGGUCGAGGUAGGGUUUGAGUGUGUAUGAGAAACCUUAGCCUAGUGUACAAUGUUUUGUGCCACCUUUUGCAAUAUUUUUUGUAUCAUGGAUGCAUCUGGAUCACAUUAAUCUAGCUUUCAAAGCUUGCACUGACUAUCGAUGCCAUAAUUAAAUCUAAUUGAAAGAGAUAAAGGGCCUCUUUUUGUUUUUCUUCUCAUUGUCUAUGCUUACACAAAUCAACUAAACAUGGUAUUCUUAGAAUUGUGUGGUUUUGAUUUUGUUUGCUGUAAUACAACUAAUUAGAUUGCUGCAGCCUAUAUUGUUUGCCAAUUUGAGCAGCUUUUUUUAUUUAUCCCCAACAACUUUUGUUUUUUCCCCCCAAAAGACCCAAAAAUGACUUCUAAAUAUACAAUCUAUAUAACAGUGAACCAACGUUGGAUAAAUUAAUAAAUUUACUAAAACAAUAAAACUUUUGUCCUAACUCGGGCCAGUAAGCUAAAUUACAAAUAAUGUUGUAAUUUUUUCCCCCACAACUACUAUAUGAAAUAAUGAAAUUGCUAGUUUUUUCCUCACUAAAAUUAAUAUAUAUUAUUUACUCUCUAUUGUUUUCAUAAUAUCAAAAAUCUUUUUGUCACAAAAAAAAUUAAAAAAAAAGAGAGAGAUAAAUAGAUCAUUUGCUCGAUAUUCUAUCUUAAGAAUAUAAAAUAUAAUUUAUUACAAAAAAAUUGUUUAAAAUAACAACAAAUAUAAGAAAAUAUUAAUUUUUUUAUUCACAUAGAAAACCAUAGCUAUUAUUUUUAUUUAAAUUUUUAUUUGAAGGAAAUUGGACUCGAGUUUAAGAAUCUGUAGACAGAGAAGAAGUGCAAACACAUCAACAACCAAAAGUCAAUGAGCAACACUUGUCAAGUUCUAUUUGGUAUUGCGACGCUGUAACUUUUAAGUCACGGCUGUUGUGACAAAAAAAGCCGUAAUAUGAAACAUAAAUUGAUAGUGUGUAAUAAAUAUAGCUUUUAAAUAAUAAUUUUGAUAAAAAUAAGAAAGACAUUAUAGGUUUUUUAUUAUAUAUGUGUGGGACCAAUCAACUUAACUUCCGCAGGCAGCAAAUGUUUACCAAAUACUUUAGUGUUUAUAACUUUUAAAUUACAAUUACCCAAUCUUAAUACCAAAUAGAACCUUAUUGCAAGAAGCUAAAGUUUAUAUUGAGGUAUGUACCAAAGCAAUUUGCAUAAAAUGGCAGCCAACCUGAUGGUGGAACAAAGAGCGGUUGUGCGCUCCCACGGAUUUGGUAAACUCUUUGAGCAGAAUUGUGGUUUGAUGAUAAGAGGAACUAUGUGAUUGGCUAGUAGAUAGGUUUGAUACCACAAAGUCGACUUUAUCUGUUCAUGGAAGAGAGUUGGAGUGUUUUGAAAAAUUUUAAUAUACUUGUAAGCGCACGAAUUUAGAAAUAAAAUAGUGGUAACGAGGUCAAACCCACAGGAAUUGUUAUAAAUUAUAAAGUCUAAUUUAACUGUAAAAUUAAUAUUAAUCCUAACCUAGUUGAGCAAAUUGAGUUUUUAAGGGAAAUAAAACUAAUUAAAAUAAGAAAACAAUUAAAGCAAAGGAAAUUCAAUAAGACAAAAAUUACCAAUGUUUCAGAAUCCACCACUAUUCAACUGGUAAUUAUCUAAUUAUUAAUUAAUUCCCAAUUUUAGAGUGACAACUCGAAAUCAAUCUAUGUCAUCUCAUAAAUAUAAUAAUUAAGCCCAAAUAAAAUUAAUCUUGUGUAGGUUCUUUUUCUGUUUAAUAGUAUGACAUCUAAGCAUUCCAUAUAAACAUAUUGAAUAACAAAGAAUCAAAAUUUUCCUAAGCACUCUGUAUAAAUAAUUUAAUGAAAGACACAGAAUCAAAGAUAAUCAUAUAUAAACUUUAUAGAUCCAAGCAUAAAUUUAGUCAAAUAUUAAUCAUAACAAUCAAUAAUGCAUGACAAAAUUGGUGAAAAUAAUUUAAUAACAUCUAACUAAUCAUGUGAAAUAAGAAGCAUAAACAUUAAAGCACACAUGUAGGGAAUUAAUUAAAUAAAAAUGUAAUUAUUUCAUUGAAUAGGAGUUCAUCCUUAACCUUAAUAUAAGAAAAUUAGUUAGAUAUACUUGAAUUGGGAGCAACAAAUAAAAUAAAACCAGCCAUGAGAAAAUUGAUAUGCUGAUGCUCCUUUUCUGCUCUCUAUCUUGUGGCUGCCUCUCUCUCAAAAGCCUAAGACAGCUUUUAUAGUCUUCAAAAUGGACCCAUCUUUUUAAUUCUAAAGCCAAAAACUUGACCUUUAAUUUGUUUUGCUCUCACGCGUGCCCAGCACUUACAUGAGGAUUCCUUUUUUUAAUGCUAUGCACAUGCUAACAAUAAUGGCAAUUGCUUCUCACGUGAUCUCUUCUCUUCUUUAAUUAAAUCUUGAUAAAUUAAUUCUUUUAAUUCUUUGUCCUUCAAUUGAUUCUGAAUUUAAUCUCCCUUGCUUCCUAAAUUGAGUUUCUUCAUGCCUUUUUAUCCAUAAUCUUCAAUUAAUUCCCUAUUCAAUAAAAUAAUUCAAUUAAUUAAAAAUAAAAAAUAAAAAUAACUAACAAUUAUAUAAUUAAGGAUAAAAUAUGUAUAUAUUAUAUGCUCAUCAUGGAGCUUAGUGCACAAAAUUUUGGGUAUAUAAUGGCAAUUUCAACGGUGGAAUGAGUGUGCAAUUAUUUGGGCAACCUUUUGCUUUGGUAGGCUUAUGCUAACGAGAUACAAGCAAGAGAAACUAGAAUAUGUAGGUGGGUGCUUGCAACAUUUGCAGGAAGGUUCUAAUGAAUGAGCUAGCCUUGUCUCUCUAAUGAAAUCCUUUAUCCUGAUUAGUAAGAAAACUUAUUGUAUAAUAUUGUUGUGGGUUGAAAUUUGUGGGAUGCUAUUCAACUAUGCCUAUGUUUGUUUCUUAAGAACUUUUAUAAUGUGGGUCAAUAAUACUUAACGGCAUAGUAAUAUAAUGAUUAAUAUAUACGCAUGCAGAUCUUAUACAUCAAUUCUGUAGCGCAUUGGAAAAUACAAAAAGAUCCAUCGAUGUGUCCUGUUGUUCUUUGGAAUGCGAACGAUAUUAAGAAGUUUGUGAAAUGGUUGGAGGAGAAGGCAUUGGAACGAACACGAUAUGAGGAUUGUAGAUGGCUUAACAAAGGGGCACUUGGGCAGGGUAUUAAAAAUUCAAUGAUGUUAGGAUCCUACCAUUAACCAUUUGCGUUCCAAUUUGAUUCCCAAUGUCAUAUGUCAAUUAUUUAUUAGAUGAUAAAUUUCAUAACUUGUAAAAUUACUUAAUCACCAUCUAAUGGAUGAAUACCACAUCAAUUGGAACUCAAAUUGAGACCUAAAUAUUCGGAUGCCUAACAUUACUCUUAAAAAUUUAUUUUGUAAGAGUGGCAUCUUAAUCAUUUUAAAUGUGUUAAAUCUCUAAGUUUCUAAAAUACCAGUGUUUGGCUAUCUUCCCUUAUUACCCAAAAAUAAAUAAAAAUAAGAGUUUAUCAUUUAUUUAAGUGAGAUUGUAAUUUCCCCCGGUUGAAAUCAGUAUUUACCAUUCACCUUUUUCUUUUUUGUUUUCAUAAUAUCCAAAAAUCCUGUAGCACCAAAAAGUUUAAAGGAAAACAAGUGUAAAUGGUUCAUUUGCUUGAUAAUUUAUCUUGAAAAUAUAAAAUGUAUAUUUAUUAUAAGAAAAAUAUUUAAAAAUAACAAAAAUUACAAGAAAAAAUAUCUUAUUAUUAAUUUUUUUAUUCAUUUGACACAUAUAUUUCUUAUUUUUAGUACUUCAAAUUUUUUAUUUUAAUUUUUAUUUACAUAUUUAUUUAAUUUAUAAUAAAUAUGAAUAAAAGUGUGUUUCAAAAUGAGAGUAAUAAUGUAAUUAGAUUACUUUGCAAUGCGAGUUAUUGGCUAUUAUAAAAAAUAAUAAAAGUGUUACUAGUAUAUAUUGAUUUCAGUAGGGGAAAGCUGACAACCUCCCUUCACUUAAAGUAGUUUUCCUCAUUUCUCUCAUUUGUUAGUUAAUUUUUUUUUUCAAAUUAGUAAUUCUUUCACUACCCUUGUUUUGCUUUGCUUUGUACUAUCUUAUUGAAUUUGGGGUGCAUUCGUCAGCUUGUAUUACAUUGUAUUAUAUUGGAUUAAAAUAUUGUUCUUACACAAAUCCAUGUUAAGCUAUAAUUUUUUUAUUGCAUUGCACUAUAUUGAAAAGGUGAGCAAUACAAUGAUGCUGCGUUUACUUUUUGGAUUGGAGUGGGAAUCCUGAGGAGUGGGAAUCCUUGGAUUAGAAGUGUGGAGUGGGAGUGGGAGUAGGGUGUUUACUUAGACUAAAUGAAAGUAUGGAUUGUCAAUCAGAAUCUCAAUUAUUUGUUUACUUUGUCUUGGAUUGGGAGUAAAUUAUUUUAAAUUACAAUUUUAUCCUUAUGUACAGAAUUAUAAUUUGUAAUUAAAAAAUUAAUAAAAAAUAUAUUUGGAAAAUAAAAUAAAUAUUUUAUUAUAUUUAUAAAUUAAUAAUAAUUACUAAUAUUCUUAAUUAUGUAAAUCAUAAUUUUUUAUUAAUUUUAAUUUAAAUUAUGUGAAUAAAAAUUAUUAAUAAUAGCAACACAAAUGAAAUAUUAUUAUUGAUAAUAUAGUACAAAAUUAAUAUUUUUUUAGAAUAAAAUAUUUAUUAUUAUUAAUUAAAUAAUUAAUUAAUAUUUAUUAAAAUUAAUGUUUAAUAUUAUUAAUUUAAAUAUAAUAUUUAUUUAUUUUUAUUUUAUUAAAUUUAAUAAAAUAAAUAUGAUAUAAUUAUUAUUUUUAAUAAAUAUGAUAUUAUUUAUUUUAUUAAAUAUGAUAUUAUUUAUUUUAUUAAAUAUUAUUUAUUUAUUUUAUUAAAUAUUAUUUAUUUAUUUUAUUAAAUAUUAUUUAUUUAUUUUAUUAAAUAUUAUUUAUUUAUUUUAUUAAAUAUUAUUUAUUUAUUUUAUUAAAUAUUAUAAGGAUAAAAUGGGAAGAGGGGGGAGUGGAUUCCCACUCCCACCUCCCCCCAUGGGAGUGGGAAUCCCACUCCCCACUCCAAAAUUGAGUGGGACCCACGGAUUCCCACUCCCACUCCCCCCUUUUUUAAGGUAAGUGAACACUGGAGUGGGAGGAAUCCACACUCCACACUCCCACUCCAGCAAGUAAACACUACCUGAAAAGAGUAUAAAAUAAUCCAAUGGGCGAGUAAGGCUUAGGCUCUAUUGUAUUAUAAUACUAUUCAUAUUUUAAAUUUAACCAUUUUACUUUUAUUAUUCAAUAAUUUAUAAUAAAUUUAAAUUUUAUUAAAUGCCAAUUUAUAUUUAUAUUAAAUAAAAUUUAAUUUAAAUAAUAAUAUAAGAUAUAAAAUAUCAAUAAACCAAAAUAUUUAACAAAUAAAUGAUAAUACAUUAUUUUACUUUUAGUACAUAAAAUCAUUUUAAUUAUUUUAAUUUAAAUGUGUGAAAAGUACUUUAAUUAUUUAAUCAUCUAUUAUUUACUAAAAUUUAAAUUUUAAAAAAUUUAAAUUAAUAAUUAUAUUCGACAGUAAUAUAUAAAAAAUAGUUUAUAAUUAAAUUGAAAUUUUAAUAUAAUAUUAUAUUAUUAUAUUAUAUCAUUUGAUAAUAGUGUAUUAUUAAAUUAUUUUAUGUUAUAAAAAUUAAUGCAUAAAAAUAAUUAUUUAAUAAUUAAUUUCAAAAAUUGAUUAUAUAACAAUAAUUAUUAACAAAUUUAAAUAAUGCUAAUUUACUUUUAAUAUUAAUAUAAAAUAAUAUUACAAAAUAGUAUUAUAUAUAAUACAAUUUAUAGUAUACAAAAUAUUAUAUUGAUUACAACUUAUUGUAAUACUCCAUAAUGCAAUACAACUAAUACAAUGUAAUGCAAUUUAGUGUGCCAAAGGCACCACUCAAGUAUUAUGUACCAGAUUCUAAAGACAUGUUACUUCUUUUAUUUUUUUUCUCUUGAGUGAAUGUUUUGUUUGGUCUUUCAUAUUCACAAAGUGUCUAUUAAUUCUUACUGUUGCUGGAACAUGGCUUACUUUGUCAUAGAAAUCUCUUAAGGAAAGCGUAUUAGUUGCCUAAAAAUAAUUAAACUCUAGUUUUGUAAAAUGUUAGAGAAGGUUGACACCAAGGUCUACUCCAUUGAUUAGUAGGCAGCCUUACUAAGACCUAGCUCUUAGGUUCAAGUGUAAUGUAAUAUGAAUGUAUAUGUGUUUAAUUAAUGAAAAAUGUUAGAGAAGAAAUGAGAUAAAAUAGAAAGUUUCAGGUUUUCAUCCCAAAAUCAUUUAAGAGGAGCUUAAAAUGCUUUUUGGGAAAAUUUUCAUCACAUGUGAAAGGCUCAUGUACCGUAUAUCACUCGCAUGACUUCUGUCUUCUGCUAGAACUAAAGUUCUUAAUGGCUUGCUUAUAAACAUUGAGCAAAUUAAUUCUUAACAAUCAUUCAAAGCUUAACACCAUCCCUGGACCAUUGUUGUAGCCUAUAUCAACUUAAUAGAAUUAAGCUAGUAAAAUAUUUGAACUGUGAGUACUCAGAAAAUUAGCAACAAUGUACAAAUUUAGAAAAUCAUAACUUACGUUCGAGUAUUAACUAUAUAAUGUCUGGAUGGAAGUCUAACUAUACAUAAAUUGUUGGUGAAUUUUUUUUUUCUUGUUAUAGUUGAUGAUCCUUAGGAAUAUGGUUAAUGCAGGUUGCAUUGCAUGAGGAGAGAAGAGGACGUCAAACAGAAUGUGGGGAGAGUAGUAAAGUUGUAACUGGAGAGGGUAAAGAGGAUAGGAGGUCAUCCAUUUGGCUGCUUUUCAAUGGUCUACUCCUAAAUUACUUAAAUAUCUGCUCAUCUCAAUAAUGUAUGUAGUAUCCGAUUGCAUACAAACUUGAGCAUAUAUUAGACUUUCUAUUGCUGAUGCAUAAGGAAUUUUUUGCAUUUCCUUCUCCUCAAAAUUAUUCUUAGGGCACUGAUUGAGACUAAACUUGUCUUUCAUAGCCACAAAUGUAUUACCUAGUCUGCGAUCUUACAUGCCUUAUCUCCUAAGAACUGUUUUGAAAUAGCUCUUUUAUGAUAGUCCUAGAAUACCCCGAGAAUGACCUUUGUGUAUCUAUAUGCCUAAUACAAAAGAGUCAUCAUCAAGACCUUUCAUCUCAAAAUUCUUAGUUAGAAGUCUUUUGUUGUCAUGCAAUAAGCUUAUAUCUUGCUAGCAAGCAAAAUAUCAUCAAUAAAACUACAAAAAUAUACUAGCUCCGAACAGAACUUAUGGCAUUUGCAAUCAUCAUCCAAAUUCAUUUGAAAAUUGAAUGAGAUGAUCACUUGAUGGAACUUUAAAUACAAUUAUUGAGAUGCUUACUUGAGCCUAUAGAUGGAAUUCUUAAGUUUACAAGCCAUAAUCUUUGGAUAUCUUGACAUAAAGACUUCUGCCUACACCAUAUAGAUUGUCUUAUCAAUGGUACCAUUGAGAAACGCUGUCUUGACAUCCAUCUGUUAUAACUUAAGAGAAAGAGUCUUUCGAAGAAAUCUAAGAGAGAGUCUUUUAAUCAUUGAUGCCUCUUUGCAAUAAGACACACCUUGUACCUUUCCUCUUUGCUUUUCGAAUCCCUCUUGGUUUUAAAUAUCCAUUUGCAAUUAAUAAGUUUUGCACAUUUUGGUAUAGGACAAUAUCUCAUACGUCAUUGUUCUUCAUGAACAUCAUCUCCUCAUUCAUGGCAUUAAUCCACUUUUAAGAGUUAGACUUUGCAUGACUUGAUGGAAGUUGAUUGGAUCAUCUUCCAUCACUCCAAUUGAAACAACCCGCCCUGAACCCCCACGACGAGUCUAUUUAGUCUCAUCAAAACUAAGUUGAUAAUAAUUUAAUUAGUAAGGAUUCUGGCGAAAAUUCGGUAAAGUUUCUUUUAUAAAUAUAACACUGCCACCUCGCAAAUAUGUAAAACAAACAUUUCCAAAAUAAUUCAAAAUUACAGCCAACUCCAAUAAUCACCAUUCUCAACCAAAAUAUUGAGUUUUACCCAAAAUAUCUCCAGAAUAUCAAAAGUUUAUAUUAUAACUAAUAUUAACAUAUAUUGGUUUAUUUUUAAUCUGAAAUGAAUAAUACAAAAAAAUUAUAUAAUAAAAAAAAGAUAUGAUCAAAAUGCCCUAACAAAAAUCAUCUAUAUCUUCUAACACCAUCACGUGGCCAAAAUUUAAAAUAUCUACAGUCAUUGGGUCGAUUUGAUGUACCCGCAGGGGGGCGGGGGGAUGGGGAAAAUAAUAAAACGGAAUGAGUAUAAAACUCAGUAAGCUCAGUGAGUGGUUAGUAGUUUUUGAAAAUAAACUUACUUUAAAAUAAUUAUAUCAUUUCAAUAAAUAACUUUACCAAAAUACCACAAGAAAACUUAAAUAAACUCAUUUAAUUAUAAAUCAUGCACUGACAAAAAUAUAAGAUAUAAUACCAUAUAAAAUCAAAGAAAUUACAAACACACUGUAAUCUCAAAUACUGGAUUCUGAAAUUGUCUCUAAACAAGUACCUAGAGGAAUAAUCUCGUCAUACCCAGACCUCAACAGACGGGCAAUGACAUACUAUCAAGAUACCAUUAUGCCCCAGAGCUACACGGAUAGAUAGGAAAAUGCCAUCUUAUAUCUCAUCAUAUCUGUACAUGCAUAAUCUAGUCCCUAAAGGACAAAAACGCCCAAGUUUACGGCCCAAAACCUCUGUGUGUACUAGACGAGCCCCAAAGGCAUGUAUCUCAUAUAUAUCUAUAUCACUGUUAUCAUUAUACCACAUGCAUAUGCCCCCAAAAGGCAGAAGCGCCGAAACACAUGGCCCAAAGUCUCAAUGAGUGUUCAGAUAGGCCCCAAAGGCCUCAUCAUAUAUGUAUCACUAUAGCUAGCGAAUGAUAUUGUCUAAUGAUUUUGCAAAUAACCUUUUAUACACAUAUACAUGAAUGUAUAAUCACAUUGUAAAUCUCAUUUCUAUCCACUUUAUUUUUUUUUAAACUAUUGUCAUGCAUUUUCUCAAAAUCGAUAAUAAAUUCAUUAAUCAUACGUGUUUUUAAUAAUAAAUAUCAAUAUGUAGAUAAAAAUUCAUUUUCGAGAAAAUCAUUAAAUCAGAGCAUUAAAUAUUUAUUUAUCAAACAUGUAAUACUGUAUCAUAAAAUCAUAAUAUAUUAUGAAAAUAUGUUUCGUAUAGUCCAUUCACAGUGACGAUGUUCAUACUCGAUUAACGUUCGCGCCCGCGGACUGGUUCUCACUCCCGAAUCUUCCUAAAUCAAGGAAAUGACAUAAUUAUUUUUCCAAAUCUGAACUAGGACUAAAUUUAUGCAAUAAACUUGAAACGAACAUUUAUCCAUAAUUUACAACUCCCGUGUCAAUAAAAUUAUUAAAAUACCCUCGAAUUCGUAAAUCAUUAAAAUACUCCUAAAUCGUACAUUACCAAAUUACCCUCAUAAUCAUAAUGACCAACCUAUCCUCAAUUUAAAAAAUUACUAAAAUAUCUAUAGGGUCAAAAAUUACAAAAUUACCCUCAAAAUGUGAAAUUACCGAAUUGUCCUCGCCGGUUAACGGUGACCGGAAAGCUCGGGUUAGACACCUCUAGCAGAGUUGAGUUCAAUGGUUGUGGUAUCACACCCUUCUUAAAGGAACCGUACGUAAGACUCUCGCGUUAUACGGCUCCAUGCCAGAAUUAGGACUUCCCCUUUCCUUUGACCAAUGGGUACUUGCGGUUAGCUCUCACGCGUGGCGACAGUGCCGCAAUCUAGCUUGAAAUCCGUGAGCACCUCAACAAUUGGCCGGCGUUGAAUUGGUGACUUCUGGUGGCUGUGGAUGGUCGGAAAUGGAAGGUGGUGAUCUGAGGAACCAAAACCCAGCCGGUGGUGUGACUUAAUUUCGAUAGAAUCCAUGGCGGUGGUGAUGGGUUUGGCUGCGAAUUUUCGUGCUACAAACAAUGGUGUUCUGGUCGAUUUUUGGCAACAGUGAUGGCAUGUGAGUAAUGGCUGGCUCAAGAGCUUUCGUUUGCUACCUUCCAUGGUUGGUGAGGUGACCGGUAAUCAGAGAUAUGGUCGGGUUAGGUUCGUGGGUUUGGGUCGGUUUGAUAGCUUCGCCCCCCCCCCCUCUCACGUGUGAAUAUGUUUCCCCUUAAAACAAAUUUCUAGCUUCUUUUAUUUUUUAUGUAAUCGCCUUUCUCUCUCUCUCUCUCUUUUUUCACAUAUGUUACACUAAUAUCCAUCUUAUGUUUUUAGAGAAAUACAAUAUAGCUAGCUGGCAUUGCUCUUCUUCUUUCUCUAGUAGAUCUCCUUAAUGACAUAGGCUCUUGUGGUGGUAGAGUUUGUUCCUCUAGAACAAUUUCUUAUAUAGGGCUUCUCUAACAUUGUCUUGAUCUUUUGUGUCUCGAACAAAAUUAAGGAUGAGACUCUAGUUAAUACUUAAUACCAAUAACACAAGGGGAAUAUCAUUAAUGUGCAUGCAUGUCUGCUCUGUAUUAUAUAAAACUUAUAAGGUAUUUUAUCUACUAUGGUCAAUAUCAUUAUGACCAAUAACUGGCUAGUUUUAUUUUAUAUAUUUUUUUAACAUUAUACAAUUAGAAAUCUAUUGGGACUAACCUAAUUUAGUGCAUGUUUGGGAUAGCUUUAAAUUAUUAAACAUAUAAGUGAUUAGUUAACAAUAUAGCAGUCAAAAAGUGUUUCGUAAAUUCACUUUAAAAGUGAUUUUAAAACAAUCUGAUUCUCAAUUAAUUAGAUCUUAUAUUGAUUUGUAAAAGCAACUUAGAGUAGCUUUUCCAAACAUGAUUAUUUCAAAAUCAAUUUUUUAAGGUACAAUAUCGUAAUUAUCCUUCACAACAUUUGUUUAUCAAAAAUACCCUUACACAAUAAUUAAUUAAUAUUUAAAUCUUAUAAAUUAAAUUUAAAAUAAAAAAUAACUUCGGGCAUAUAGUCCCAGCAGUUUGUCAUCAGCGAGAUUUUUCCGGUGCUGGUGAAAGAGAAAGUUGUCCUUCGAUGAUAAAUCGGCAGGGAAACUUUUCCGUCAUUGUCGACGACACUGGCACUGUUUCCGCGAACGAAAUUUCAACCUCCAUUCAUUUAUUUCUUGUUAUUAGGUAUUUUUUUUAUUACUUAGCAUUUAAUAUUGACUAAUGAUUUUUUUGGAAAGAUAACAUAAAGUUGAAAGUUCCUAUUAAUUAACUGACAUUUACUGUUAAUAUUUAUAGAAAAUAUAAAUAGAAAGCUGAGAAAAAUUAAAAUGAUUUGUUUAUUAAAUAAUAUGCUUUAAAAUUAAUUUUAUUUGGUUUGUAUAUAACUAAAAUAUAAUUAAUGUCUAUUUUGGUUAUUUCAACAUUUUUUUUAUUAAUUUACUAAACAUGCAAGCUAAAUCAUAUGAUAAGUAAUUAUAUUAUAAUCUAAACUUACCAAAUAUGAAACUAAAUUAUUUAUAAAUCUGAUUGUUUCAAAAUUUAUCUUAAAAUAGAUUGUUUUGGGAAGCUAAAGCAAUCCCAAAUAUAUCCUAAAUUUUAUUAUACAAUACAGAUAUUGAGAAUCUAUAUUUCUAUCUCUACUAAUAUUCAAGGAAGGGACACAUGCAUUCUCUAAGAAAAAAUCUACCCCACUUAAUUAUGGGGAAGAUAUUAUUAUUUUUUGGCACUUAUUCAUUUGAAGUGCGAUCCGAUAAGAUUGCUUAAUUUAUUGAUGAAAAGUUGAAAACGUUUGAAAUGAACAAGGCAUUGAAAUGAACAGGCAUCUUUUCUUAUUUAAAAAUAGGGUAAAGACAACAUUAUGUUUUGACACUCCAACAACUUCAGAGCCAUUUGCUAUCUUCUCUUUUGCUAAUCAGUAAAUAUUAUACAAACAAAGGAUAAACAAGAUCUCUUUCCUAUCUUGGUUGAAAGUAACAACGCACAGCGCGCGCUUCCAUUAAAUUGUCAUAUCAACAGAUUCUAGUUUGAGCCCUUCAAGUGAAUGAGAAAGGUUUGAUUUUUCAAAAUUAGGCAAAGCUUAGCUAUAGAUUCAUGCGGAAUUAAGAGUGGCGCAGCAGGAUGUAGACCCAUUGCUCCUUUGAGAAUGGCCUAUAAGCAUAUAAAUUAAUUUUUUUAUGUAUGUUUCAUUUACUUAUCCUUUUUUUCCUAGCCGAAUGUCUAUUUCAUUUUGAGCCGUUUUUAAAAUAUCAUGAUGGUUGGGAAACAAAGAGAGAACCCAUGUGAAUUUUAUUGUUAUGGUGUCUGUUGUAAGUAAGAUAACACCCUGCAAAAUUGGUAGUGUGCAUAUGUUGAGUCUGCUUUUACAAAGACAAACAAAUGAAUUCUGAACCCCGCAAUUGAAUAAAAAUCGAUCGACUGGACUAAAUUGUAUGAUAAAAAUGAAAAUUUCCCUUAUUAACCGAUUGGGAAAAUACAGAAUAAUUAUUAUUAUUGUUUUUUUUUUUUUGAUGAAUGACCUUGACGGUGGAGAGAGCUUCAUUAAUAAAAAUAAAUGGAAUUCUAUUACGCACAAAGGGGCAUAGCGAGCCUUAAGCUUUACUAGUCAUAAAUAUUUAUUAAACCGAUUAGCUACAUGAAUAGAAACAGAAUAAUUAGAUAUUCGCAUCAAUUCACAAGUUGCAGAUUCAGCUGCCCACGUUUGAAAAUCUCAUCCUCAUCAUCAUCAAUAACAUUCGGACACGAGAUGAGUACCAAUUAGUUUAACUAAUAAAAUAGGUUUGGAGUUGGAACCCACUUAAAGAGAUGGUUUACUCUUUCCAUUCUUCCUAUCCACUGAAUCUACAUCCUUUCCUACAGUCAUUCUUAAAACUUCAUCACGUGUGGUGUCUGUAAACCAUCUCUUCAUCUCUACCAACAGCACCGUAUCAGUGGUUUUGUUCUUAUCCGAAGACUUUUUUUUCUUUUGUUUUUUUGAUGAAUGACCAAGAUCCGCCUCUGAUUACAACAGAUUCGGGAAGAGUUAAUAGGAGAAAAAUAUCCAAAAUGAAGAAGAAACUUUUCUCGAGUUUUUGUUCUCAUUUGUUUUCUUGAACUUGUGAUGACAUCAACUAGCGUUGAAUCUGGUACCUGUAACCUGAUCGGCAAGAUCAGAGGUAAGAAGCCUCCACUAGGACGUACAAUAUUGCACUCAAGAAAACUAUUCUGACUUCUGCAAACAAGGAAAGAUAGCUUUAUUGCAUUUUCGGCAUUUUGCGUCUUUGCAAAAUGGUAUUGGAUUCACAGCUUAGUCGUGAUGGAUUCAGAGCUUAGUCGUGAUAAAAGUUCGUUUAAUACUAGAUAUUUAUGACUAAUGAUAAUUCGAACAUUUAUAUUCAACUAGAAAAGGCCUACUGGGUAAAAGAGUAAACAAGCAAAAAACACACCAAUACUUGCCACAAAAGUUUAUUAGAUAUAUUACAUCGAGAAUCAAUUUAGCCGUACAAAGAAGCCGAAAGACGUGGAGAGACAAGUACUUCAAGUGGUGUAGAUUUCUCUAUGGUCAACCCUAAUCUCUCCCCCAUGUCCAAUGGUUCAUUUGAUGGGGUUGCAAUAUCAAAGCCAUGAAGUAAAGAAGCAAGUGUAAAUUGCAUAACUUGGAGGGCGAAUGACACUCCAGGACACAUUCUUCUGCCACUACCAAAAGGCAACAAUUCAAAAUUUUGUCCCCUGACAUCAAUAUCCUUGUGCCUUGUCAAAAAUCUUUCUGGCUGAAACUUACAAGGCUCUUCCCAGACAUGUGGAUCACGUUGAAGCUUCCAAACGUUGAUAAAAAGUUGUGUGCCGCUGGGAACAUUGUAACCACUUACUGUGCACUCUUCCAUAGACUCGUGUGGAAAAAAGAGUGGCGCAGCAGGAUAUAAACGCAUUGCUUCUUUAAGAAUGGCUUGUAAGUAAACUAAAUUUUUUAUAUCUGAUUCAUUCACUUGCCUUUUUGUGCCCACCUGAAUAUCUAGUUCAUUUCGAGCCUUGUUUAGAAUAUCAUGAUGAUUGAGAAGCAGGGAGAUAAUCCAUGUCAAUGUAACAGCUGUGGUGUCUGUUGCCGCUAAGAUGAGAGCCUGCAAAAUUGGUAGUGUAUACAACGUUGUCAUGCUUUCAUAUAUAUGCAUAUUACACUUAUUUACAAUGCAACUUAAUUAAAUUCCAUUAAAGACUCAAUUUUUUUGGGUAUCUUUUGGCUUUUACUGACAGAUCAAAUCCACCAACAUAUUAUCAAAAACUUAUCCUAAAAUGCAGGUCCCAAUUGACUAAGGCAAUAAUGAACAGAUGAUGAUUUCCUUGACUUUUUGGUUCACCAUUUUACCCUAUCGACUGAUUGGGAGACAACAGAAUAAUAAAUAUUCUCAAUUCACAACUUGCAGAUUUAAUUGCUUUCAUUUAGAAAUCUCAUCUUGAAGAAUGAUGUAAACAACUAUCUGAAUGAUUAUAAGUGUAAAAUGGUUUAAAAGCAUAUAAUAUUCAAUUAAGAGAUUGAUACCACUAGUUCUUUUGUUUAGAUCUCUUGAGUGAAAAGAAGAAGUCCGAGCAAAGUCUAAUUUCAUUGAUAAGGAACAACCUUCCUACAACUUAAGACCUGAGUUUGAGCCUCAUUAGUGUGCGGUUAAUAUAAAUAAAAGAAUAAAAUAAAAAAGAAGAGGUCUUGAUUUUUCAAACUCUAGAGGGGAUUGAGUCGCCCAUAAACUAAACCUAAAAGAGAAAUUUCGGUUAAGAGAGGCAUACCAGGCAAAUAGCUUUAUUGAUUUUAUCAACAUCACGACCAUAAUAUUGCUCUGUAUCUCCUAAAAUCGAAAGCAUCGCAUGCAUAAAAUCUUCUUCUUCUUUAUUCAUUUCCUGAGAAUCUCUCUUCCACUUGUGCUCUUCUAACCAUCCUUGAACAACAACGUCUAAUUCUUUGGCAAUCUUCUUCAUUGACCUCUCAUCACCCCCUAUAUCCAACCAUCUCAAAAACGGCAAUGCAUCUGACACCACAAACUUACCACUCAUUUCAAAAAAUCUCGUUAAUAGUUCUUUCCAUUCUUCACUAUCCACUGAAUUGCAUCCCUUUCCUACAAUCAUUCUUAAAACCACAUUACGGAUGCUGUCUGCAAGCCAUCUCUUCAUCUCUACCAACAACAUCUUAUUAGUGUUUUUGUUGUUGUCCCAUAACUGGUAUAACUCCUUCAAACAAGUCUUCACCUCGUACUCUCGUACAUGCUUGAGCUUCUCAAGCCGAUGGUUCGAGAGAAGCUCAAGUGUGGCUAUCUUGCGUGUCUCUCGCCAGUAAGAGCCGUAUGGGCUAAACCCAAACAUGGAAAAAUUGUAGCCUAAAAUCUCCGCGGCUAGAGUUUUUGGACGGCUGGCAAAGACUUUGUCGUGUGUAGUAAGACACUCUUUAGCCAUCUCCCAAUUACUCACAACUAAUGCUCGAUUUAUGCCCAUCUUGAUUGUGAAGAUUGGUCCAUACUUGUCAGCCAUGCAGGCCAACACCCUGUGAGGAGGUUCUGGCCCUCCUAAGAGGUGUAGAUGGCCAAUCACAGGCCAUGCUCCCUCAGCUCCUGGUGCUCCCCUCUUCUUGUUGCUUGUGUAUUUUCUAAGCAAAUUUCGUGAAACUGACAACGAGGUGUAUAGAAUGAUUAAAAAAGUGAUUAAAAUUGCUGCGACAGUACUUGUUUGAGACGAACCGAGAAAGUCCAUGGCUGCUACCACUAAAAUUUCUCGAGUGGUAGCAGGUGUAAAAUUUGAUAGCAGUUGCCUAAUUUCUUUAUAUUGAGUAAGUUUUUUUUUUGUCUUUUUUAGAAUUGAAUUGGUAUAAAUAAUAAGAAAAGUAACGUUGUGCUAUCAAUAAAGGUGGCGAACGGGCCGGGCAGUACGUGGCACCGUAUGUGUCCGUACAGUAUAUCAUAUGUUCAUACAAUAUGGCAUGACACGAGCACGUUUCAACAAGGCACACGACAUGACAUGACACGCAUGUAGUUGGGUAGGGUUCAAAUUUUUAGGUACGUGCACCUUAAAAGCAGGACACGCAAAAAGUUACGUAAUAAGCAUGUUUUAUUGGUGGGCUAGCACGUGGCCCGCGAGCCAUCAACAACAUGUGGGACGAAGUAUAUUAAAGUAAAUUUUUUUAAUAAAAAGUAAAAAUAAAUGUUAUGAUUUUACAAAUACUUUAAAAUUAAUUUUUUAAUAUAUUUUAUUAAAUUAAUUUAAGUCUUAGAUUUAAAAAAAUUCUAAUUGUUUUAUAUUUAUCAUUUAUUAAAUGAAUAAAUAAAUAUCAUAAUUUUAAUAAAUAAAAUUAUAAAUAUCACGAUUUUAUAAAUCAUAUAUCAAAAUUUUAUGACAAUUAAUAUUUCAUUUAUGAAAUCGUAACUUAGUUAUUGGAUAUAUGUUUCAUUUGUGAUUUGUGAAUAAAAUAUUUUUCAUAUUUAUUAACAAAAAAUAAAAUUAUGAAUGAAAUAUUUUAUAUUUUUUUAUUUAUACACAAAUCAUAAAAUAAAAAGUUGUAUUUCAUUCCAUGGAGUUCAAGUCCAAUUAUAAUAUUAAUAGUUCAAAUAAAAUUAGUUGUAAUUUACUUCAGUGCAGUUCAAAUAAUAUUGUUGUAUUAUAAUUGAAUUAGUAAUUGUGAAAUUAAAUAUUUAAAUAUAUAAUUACAAAAUUAUGAUAAACUGAUAAUAAAAUAUUAAUUAUUCUCUUAAUAGUUAAUAAAAAUUAUUAUUAUUAUUGUUGUUAUUAUUAUUAAAUGGGCUGAUGAGUUUGAAAAAUCAUGCUAGGUACAUAUGCUUAAAAAAUCAUGCCAAAUAUGUGGGUUUAAAAAAACACGUGGCACUUGGGCUUGAAGGAAACAAAAAUUUGACAGGCCUUUUUGAGUAUGGCCCAAACAUGGCACGCGUGGACUCGUGAGCCGUACUGAGCUUAACAAAAAAUAAUUGGGUACGGCACGGCAUGACCCACCAACGUACCGCCCUCAAGGUUUUUGUUUAUACCGACACGAGCCUUUGGCCACCUUUAGCUAUCAAGACUUAGAGGCUUUCAGUUGUUUCAAGGUGAAAGAAAAAAAUGUCAACAGAUAAAUUUAAGUUAAAUACAGUUACAAUUCCUUUGAUACUACUAUUACAAUUGGAAAGUGUAAAAAGACAAAAUAGUUGUAAGCUUAUAUACUAAAUUGUCAAAACUGGCAGCUAAAACGUCAUAUUUCAAACUUGGAAAAUUGGCAGCACUAAUGUUACUGGUGAUAGUACUUGUUGAUUAGUUGAGACACACAUAUCUAGGCCCAUUCAAAAGUUAAUCCAAGCCAUAAUGACGAGUAAUGAGGAGCCGACGUAAUGAACGCAAAGAGAAAUGUUAUAGAAUAAAUUAUUGAGGGUAGGCGCUAAGUUAGGCCCUCCCAUUAUUGAGACAUUUGUGAUUGAUGUGAAGAAAAUUAUGAACAUGUCACUCUCCAGUCUCUAUCCGAAUAAUUGAGAGCAACGUACUUGCCAAAUAUUAAUUAUUCGUAUUCAGCACAGUUCAGAUAAUAAUUCUAUAUCCACAUGGUCCCCAUAUUAAGUAAUUUAUUUAGUAUAUAAAGAUUACACGAAAAUUUUAUAAUAACAUGAUUAAAAUUAUAACAUUAAUAUCGUGAUAAAUAUAAAUUUUAUAAAUUAUAUAUAUAAAUAGUUAAAAAGUAGAAUAAAUAAAUAAAUUAAUGUAAGAGUGUUAAAUUGGUGUUUUAGAAUUACAAACAAAACAAACAUUUAUAAAAAUAACAUAAAAUUUGUAAAUUAACAUUAAACUUUAAUUAAACAAAAAAAUAGUUUAUUUAUUUAAUUUAUUAAGCAAAGAAAAAGUUCUCAUCAUUGAAAAUAAAAAAAAUUGAAUUGAAAAUAAUUGGAAUAAAUUUUAUUAAAUUGGUAUAAACAUAAAUUCUAUAUUCAUCCAGUGCAUUUAUAGUUUUUUUUAAAAUUUUUAUCAUAGUAUUUGUUUACUGCACAUAUUAAUUAAGAAAAAUUAAUUUUCUUGAUAUGGAUCAAGCCAAAAAGAAAAAAAGAAGAUAUUAUUAUAUUAUUAGACAUAUAUGUUAUAUCUAUAAAAUUGGACAUAGUUUCCAAUUUUAUACAUAUUUGAUGUAGUUUCAAACUUUUAUUUCUACUUGUAUUUAAUUCAUUAGGGAUGGCUUGAAUAAGGAGUCAUUGGAUGAUAUCAUUUUGUCUCUUGAAACACAUCUCAGUGGAUAUGUACAAGGAGCGAUUCUCCAGUUAUGACCAUUAUUCCAGAAAGAGCAUGCACGAUAUAGUCUUGGGAAUCUGACUAUAAACGACCAUGUUUGCCAAUUUAUAAGAAAACUGGAUGAGAAGCCUAUUCUCGACCCAUAGAGGGCGUUUAAGCCGUUUCUGAACGUAAAACUAGAGGAAAAUGUGAGCCACAGUUACAACUACUUGUACAUAUCGUUUUACUUCACUGUUAUUUUAUUUUACUGUUGUUUUAUCAUUUGCAUUAUUGUUUUUAAUAAUUUUAUUUUAUCAUUGUUUUUUUUUCCUUUUACUGUUUCCUUUUUUACUCUCGAGCCAUGUGUUUUACGCGUUAAUUGACACAAACAUGUUACCUUAUACACAUAUGUGACCCACUAUCACCAAGAUUCUUAAAUAUGAUUUGUUUUGCAUUCACAAAUUGUUUUUGAAAACAUCCCAAUGGCAGCUACUCCAAAUAAACAAUUCAAAAACAUUUGUGUGCUUUCUGGAUUUAACUAUGGCAAACAUAAAGAGUUCGUUGAGGCAGCCAUAGAUCUUGGUCGAAGCAUAACAGAGAGAAAAUUACACUUGGUGUAUGGAGGAGGUAAUCGAGGGUUAUCAAAAUUGGUCUUAGAAGCUGCUUUUGUCAGAGGAAGCCAAGUGUUAGGCAUCAUCCCAAGAGCCCUAAAACAUUUGGACAGUUUGUCAGACUCAUCGACUGGAGAAGAGUUAGUCGUCUCAGGUAUGCAAGAAAGAAUAACUGAAAUGCUUAAUCAUACUGAUACUUUUAUUUUCCUUCCAGGAGAUCUUACAACUCUAGAGGCACUUAUCACAUUAGCAUCUUGGGCCCAUCUGCACAUUCACCAGAAACUCAUCUGUUUGUUAAAUGUCAAUAACUUUUAUGAUGGCUUUAUCGCAUUUCUUAACCAUGCAAUAAAAAACUAUUUCAUUCACUCCACAGCGAAAAAACUUUUUAUUUGUGCUCACACUGCUAAUGACCUACUUGAUCUAUUACAAGCUUAUAGACCAGAGCCAGACCCCAGGACCUUUGUGUUGGAGUCUCCAAAUAAUGGUGGUAACAGUAGCUGCAGUAAGAAGUACAAAUUAGAUUUAACUCUCCGCUUGUAAAUAUUUUCUUCUGUGUUGCACCACCCAGGUGAUGUCUUCUAAACUCCACUUCUUUCCUAUAAAAUAUUGAGGACGACAAUGUUUCAUUCUGGUUGGGGGGAGGGAAUAAUUGACAAUUGUGGAAUCUUAUGUAAGUUUUUACUAAUUUUUGUUGUAGAGACUAACCGUGGCUAACUUUUUGUGUUGAAGAUGGCUGAAUAUGGAGUGUAGUUACUCUAGAAACGCAUCUUUUUCCUUUUAAAAAAAUCAAACAAAAAAAUUCCAGACGUUUUCUUUUUUUUUUUAUUAAGUUUUGACAAUCAUUUUUUUUAACUUCUUCUUUCUAAUUUCUCCUUUACAAAUAUACACUUUCAAAUUUUUGAGUCGAAGAUGGCUGAAUAUAGAGUGUAGUGCCUCUAGAAAUGCAUCUUCUUAGUUUAAAAAAAAAACCCAUUUUCUUUUUCUAUCAUUUUAAGUUUAACUUUGCUAAUUAGCUUUUCUACAUCAUUUUCACCUUUCUGCAUGCAUAUUUUCUUUUCAUGUUUAGAAUAGGUUGGGGGGUAGAUUGUCGUUUAAAAAAAAAGUAGUGUGAUAUUUUUUAACAUUGGAUAAUAUGAUGAUUUUUAAAUUUUAGUAUUCAUAUUAUCUUUGGUCUUAAGUAAUGUUACGCUAUGUUUGCUACUCCACAUGUUGAUGUCGGAGACAAAUAUGAGUUGCUUGAAGGAAUGCACAUGUUGAUGUCGGAGACAAAUACGAGUUGCUUGAAGGAAUGCACAUGUCAUAAUAAAUACCAAGUAAGUUUUUAAGCAUGUCAUUUUUCUUGGAUAGUAACCCAUUUUUCUUCUUCAUCAUACAAUUUAGCAGUUUAUUAUUUUAUAUACGAUCUCUACAUUUCUUUUGAGUCAACCCUCUAAAAAUAAAAUUUGUAAGAUAAAAAAUAAAAAAAAAAGAAGAAAAAAAUGUGUGUUACUACAUCUGGAGGUCCAUCUAACUAGUAGAUAUGGAAGAUUAUUUAGAGCCCUAAAAGACGAUGGAAAUGCCAUCUUUAACCCGUUUGAGCCUUUCUAGCCAUCCCUUUUGUGAAAAAUCCAUAGUUAACCAUUUUGAGCCUUUAAAAAAAAAAAUUUCUUUGUCAAAAUUUAUCAUCUUGGCCCACUCCGAUUUGGAGUAAUACUCGAUAUUUUAGAAGUUCCAUAAUCUAUUUAUGUUUGAGAAAAAUAUAAAUAAUUAUUUUAUUCAGUGAAGUUGUGCCAAACAAAAAAAUUGUUGUUUAAAAAAAAGAAAAAAAUAAUAAUAAUAGGUGAAAUCCACCUUGUAAUUUCCAAAAGAUCUAUACUUUUUCUCAAACAUAUAUGUUGUUUUCCUUAUUUCCCCUCCUUUGUUAGCAAUGUCCCUAACCUACGUUACAUCCUAAUAAAAGUCCUUCGUGAUUUUAGGGAGCUAUAGUUUGAAGUAGAAACUAUAUAUAUGGGCUAAAAAGAUGUAGUGGUGCAUAAAAAAAAAAGAAAUAAAUAAAUAAAUUGGGUUGACUAGCAUUAUUAUUAUUUUUUACUUGAGAUCGUAUUAUUUCUAAGCUGAGGGCAUAUUUCUUUCAUCUUGGUGAGAGCAUGUGAUAUUACUUCUUUAUUAUUUUCUCUCAAUUACCAUUCAUUGGAGUAACUAUUUUUAUUGGGUUUAAUUUCCUUGUGAGAGUGUCACUACUUCUAGUGAGAUUUUGGGGUUUGACUUGUCAUUCUUGAAAGUAGCUGUGACAAAGUCUACUAGGCUAAUUCAUGUGGAUGAUUGAUGUGGGUGUGAUGUUUCUUUAGACUGAAAAUAAUGCUUAUACUUUUAUUUGAUUACUAUCAUUAGUCUGAUUGAAUAAACACAAUUAUUUUAAAAAAAAAUUCAUUUUGGUUUUGAAUUUUGUUUUCGUUUUAUUUGCUAGGGACUAGCAAUAAGCUAGUUUGGGGGUGUGUUGAGUGUUAGAAAGUGUAUAUUUAUAAAGGAGAAAAUCGUCAUUUUACAUUUCAUGUUUUACUAACAUUUAUACUUUUAUGUGUUUUAGUCUCUUGUAAUUUAAUUAUGUGUGUUUUAUUUUAAUUAAGUAUUUUAUCUAUUUUAGGGACAUCAUGGUCAUUUUACAAUGAACCAGAGUUCAGACAGCAAAACAGACAUAACUUUUGAACUCAGGACAGUUGAAAACCUUAGGAGGAGUAUAAAAGGAAAAAUGACAAUGUUCACAUGUACGGUAGUGUCUACGUUACUGUUCACGACAUUAUUCACAUAGACUGAUCGAUGACGUGACAUUGACCGAUGAUGUGGCAUUGAUUGAUGAGGUGUCAUGAUUCUAUUGGAAUAAAAUUCUUAUGUAUUGUUGAUCGGUGACGUGGCAACAUGUUAGUGGACCAAAAAUCGCGCGUACGGUACAUACAUAUACAUGGGAUUAUUUACAACCAAACCGCGUCAUUGUUCAAGCCACCUGACUGUUCAAACUGCGUGGUCAAUCCGUGUCACUAUUCAAACCGCGUGGUCAAACCGAGUACUUUUGAUUGAUGACGUGGCGCAAUUCUGAGCGUCCAAAAUGUUUUUAAUCUGAUGGCCAUGAUUUACUCAGUGUAUCUAUAAAAGGGGGUCUUCCCCCACUAAUUUGGCAUCCCUAAAUUCAUGUUUGAGUUCAAUUUUCUAUAAUUCCUUCUCCAUCUUGUAUUUUCUAUGUAUUUUAUUAAAUUCUCAUUUUGCCCCUAGUUUAAUUAUGAGUAGCUAAUUUUCUUUCAAGCUUUAGUUGAAGGUGAAGUCUCAACAUGUGUCAUGAGCUUUAUUUGGUAAAUUUACUUUCUAUUCCCCUCUAAUUAUUGUGGAUGUUUUGAUUUUUCGUUGACAAAUAGUAAUAAUCUUGUCUAGAUACAGCCAUGGUGUCACCGGCUCCCUAGUACAAGGUUAUUAUUAUUUGACACGAUAAGCCUUUAGCACUAUAUUGAUUAGAGUGUGGUUCAUGAGGAGUGGAAUCCCCCUUCAUGAUUUAAUUGGCAUUAAUAAGGAAUAUUUAGCCCAUGGUGCAUAUUGAUGCAGAUCCAGAUACGCAAGUACGUCAUUUCAAUAGAUUUCGCUUCAUUUUAUUCUUGCCAUUUUAGUUCAAAUUUUAGGAUAAUCUAAUUUACUUUCACCACAAAUCCAACCAUCCUCAUAGAAAAUUAACUCUACAUAUAAUUAAAAUCCAUCUUCUCGUAGGAUCGACACUUGUCACCAUUAAUCUAUUUUACAAUAGAUUCGUGCACUUGCGAGUUUAAUAAAAUUUAAACAACAACAACUCUCAUUUUACUUCGUAAGGAUACUCUGUCUUCUCCCUACUCUGUCUUCUCCCUCCCCUGAUAAAGUAAUUGCUUUGCACCACCAAAUUAAUUCUUCAGUGUCCAUAGCUAUGUUGUAGGACUCUUCUUAAUUACUGUUGACUUUAUUUCACCAACUACUUCUCUGACUUUGGACUGAUUUUGAGCUACUGAAAAUAAUAUUGAUAAUAACAAGGAUUAAAGAAAGAAACAAAGAAAAGAUAAGGUGAAUUAGAAAAGGUUUUAAGAGACCCAAUUGGUGGGUAGUAAGAAAGAGUCAUAGACAACUCUAUUUGGCUUUCAAUUUAAGUUUUCAGAGAAAACCGAGAAGGAAGAAAGUGCAUUUCAGUAGUUCUACUUUCCUUGACCUUAGAUUGAUUUCUAAAAGAAACUUAAGAGUAGCUUUUCCAAACCCGAUUAUUUCAAAAUCAAUUUUUAAGGUACAAUAUCGAAAUUGUCCUUCACAAACAUUUGUUUACCAAAAAUACCCUUACACAAUAAUUAAUUAAUAUUUAAAUGUUAUAAAUUAAAUUUUGAAAUAAAAAAUAAUUGCGGGCAUAUAGUGCCAACAAUUUGUCAUCAGCGAGAAAGUUGUCCUUCGAUGGUAAAUCUGGUACCAGUGGACUUGAAGCUUCAUGAUCUACAUGAUGGUAUCGGUCUUUGUAGAGAAAAUAAUCCAGUGGUGGCAUAAAUGCCGCUCAAAUGUGACGACAAUAUAGCACCGUCGUCUAACCGAGGUGAGGUGACAUGAAUUGCCAUCUCCAACAGAUACAACAAUUUUUUAAAUAAUGUUCAUGUUGGCGGUGAAGCAAAAAACACCUGAUUUUAACAGCCAGCUUAUUUAGGAGGCCUUUCCACCACCAGCAAAUUUGUUUAGCCGAUAAUAUGGAUAUGGUUGCUUAGAAUGUGAAAUUUUGAGUCUAACGAUGAAGGGAAACUUUUCCAUUAGGGAUGUUAAAUACAUCCAGAUUCGCAUAUUAAAAAAUGCGGAUCCAGAUAUGGAAAUUUAGGAUCCGGAUGCUAGUGCAUUUGGAAAACUAGAUAUUCGGAUCCGGAUAAAUUUUAUUUUAGAUUAAAAAUUAAAUUAAAAAUAUAUAUUAAAAAUUACAUGAAAAAUUAAAAAAUAAAAGAAAAUUAUCAUUACACCACCUUUCUUUUGUUUUAUAUUUAUCCAACCACUACAAAAUUCUAACAUGUUCUCUACACCACAUUUCUUUUUAAAUUUAUAUCAAUUAGUCAUUUUUGCACUAACCCCAUUAAAUGAUUUAAACGAAAUAACAAUUUUACCCCUAAAUAAUUAAAAGAUAAUUUUAUCUUAUAAAGUUUUGAAAAAUAAAAGAAAUUAUAAUUAUAAAAAUACCCCUAAAUUUAAAAAAAUAAAUCCAAAAUAGAGGUGCUUAGCUGAUUUUUAUUAAAUUUAGAUUUUGCAAAAUUUUAAUCAUUAUUUUUAUUAAAAAUUUAUAAUUUUACAAAAUUUUAAUAAAAAAUAACUGAAUUUAUUUAUUAAAAAUUAUAAUUUUGUAAAAUGUUAUUAAAAUAACUGAAUUUAUUUAUUAAAAAAAUCCCAAAAUUUUAAUAAUUUAAGGGAGUUUUAUUAAAUCCCAAAAUUUUGUAAUUAUUUGAAUAAUUAUAAUUUUUUAAAAAGAAUUUUUAUUAAAAAUAAAAAUUCUAAUUUUUGGAUUUAUUUCUUUAUUAAAUGUAGAUGUAUUUUUAUAAUUAUAAUUUUUUUAUUUUUAAAAUUUUUACAAGAUAAAAUGAUAUCUUAAUUUAUUUAGGGGUCAAAUUAUCAUUUCGUUUAAAUUAUUUAACGGUGUUAGUGCAAAAGUGGGUAAUUGAUACAAAUUUUAAAAGAAAUGUGGUGCAGAGAGCAUGUUAGAAUUUUGUGGUGGUUGGAUGAACAUAAGGCAAACAAAAGGCGGUGCAAUGAUAAUUUUCCAAAAAUAAAUUUUAUUUGUGGAUUUAUGAUGUUGUUCUAUAUUAUUCAUGUUGACUUAUUAAUUGUUGGAUCAUUAUUGAAUUUUAUUUGAUAUUAUUAGGUAAAUUAUUGAAUUUUAUUUUUCAAUUAAAAUUUAAAUUAAAUAUAUAUAUUAAAAAUUAAAAAUUAAAUUUUAUUUGUGGAUUUAUGAUUUUGUUGUAUCUUAUUCAUGUUGAAUUAUUAAUUUUGGAUUAUGAUUGAAUUUUAUAUUGUAUGUUAUUCAUGUUGAAUUAGUAUUUGUUGAAUUAUGAUUGGAUUUUAUUUGAUAUUAUUAGGUAAAUUAUUGAAUUUUUAAAUUAUUUAUUAAAUUAUUAAAUUUUAAUUUUUGCAGAUCUGGAUAUCCGGAAUAUCCGCCCGCAUUCGUUGCAGAUAUUACCUGCAUCCGAUCCACAUCUUUUUUUGCGAAUCCAGAUACAAAUUCGGAUGCAGAUGUACCUACAUCCGGACCCGGAUCCAGAUUUUGCCAACCCUAUUUUCCAUCUUUGUCGAUGACAAUGGCACAGUUUCCAACUAACGAAAUUUCAACCUCCAUUCAUUUAUUUCUUGUUAUUAAGUAUUUUUCUUAUUACUUAACAUUUGAUAUUGACUAAUGAUUUUUUUAGAAAGAUAACAUAAAGUUAAAAGUUCUUAUUAAUGAAUUGGCAUUGACUGUUAAUGAUUAAUAGAAAAUAUAAAUGGAAAGUUGAGAAAAAUUAAAAUUUUUUGUUUAUUAAAUAAUAUGCUUUAAAAUUAAUUUUAUUUGAUUUCUAUAUAGCUAUGGUGGAACGGGUACACCAUACUCCUCUUUUUGUCUUUUUUUUGCUGCCACGAUUGGAUUUGACACAAAAGGAGUUUCAAGGGCAGGGAUGUGUUGUUUGUUUAUUAACAAUGCAAUCCCUAAUAUUUGCUGAAAAAUUAGAAAAGUUAAAGUUCACAAAAUUUUGUGCCAAUAUCUUUUUCUCUCAAAUUCUCUCCGAAUCACUAAUCAUCAUCAUUGUGUUAUAUUACCCACUUUUGCAAGUUAUAAUCAAGAAAUCAAACAUGCCAGAUGCGUCAAAGACAAUGAAAACUAAGACAAACUUUGAAUUUUUGUUAAAACUCUCACUUUUGAUCAUUUGCUAAAAUAUUCUUUUUACUUAAGAAAACAAACUCAUUAACCUAAUAAGAGGAGUUUUACUGAAAAAAAAAAUUAUUAUAAUAAUUAUCCAAUCAUUAGAAAGCCCUAGAGUUAGAUUAUUUAAGGAGAAAAUUGAGAGACACGUGGAGGAGAAGAAGGGAAGAAGACACGUAAUAAAGUAUGAAAAUUUUCAAAUUUAUUAGACCUGAAUUUCAUUGUAUAAUGAAUAGAUUAUGGGUACAAAAAUAUAACUAUGUGAUUUUUUUUAUAUAAAAGUUUAAUUGAUUAUUACUUAUGUGAUAUAGAGCAAAUGAAUCUUAAGGCAAUAAGGAAGUAGCUUCAAUGAGAAUGUCAAGUUUCUUUUAUUGAUUGCAAUUGGUUGAUUACAAGUUUAAUUGAAAAUGGAAAAAAAAUCCAGAAGAAUGCAUAGGUGAGGGGUUGAAUAAAGAGGAAAAAGAAAUUAUUUUAAUAAACUGUAAAUAAAGAAGAGAUUUGGGGGUGCAACCAAAAAAGACAAAAAGAAGGGGUAUGGGGCACCCGUUGAACCGUAGCUCAAUCCUUCUAUAUAACCAAAAUAUAAAUAAUGUCUAUUUUUGUUAUUUCAACAUUUUUUUAUUAAUUUACCAAAAAUGCAUGUUAAAUCAUAUAAUAAGUAAUUAUAUUAUAAUCUAAGGUUACCAAACAUGUAACUAAAUUAUUUAUAAAAUUGAUUGUUUCAAAAUUUAUCCUAAAAUAGAUUUUUUGGGAAGCUAAUGCAAUCCAAAAUAUAUCCUAAAUUUUAUUAUUAUGCAAUACAGAUUUCUACCUACAUCAAUAUUUGCGGAGGGACAUAUCUACCCUAGCUGAUGUAUGCAGUAGAGAUUUAUUGAGAAUCUAUAUUUCGAACUCUACCAAUAUUCAAGCAAGGGACAUAUCUACUCUCUAAUAAAAGUGUACCCUACUUAAGUAUGUGGGGGGAAAAUAAGCCUUUACAACUGCAAAGAAUCAACCAGCCCGAACAUUCAACUUUUGUUGAUAUAGUGGGCAGCCGCUAGUUUUAUUUAUUAUUAUUAUUGUUUGGCACUUAUUGAUUUGAUGUGGGACCGGAUAAGAUUUGCUUAAUUUAUUGAUCAAGGAUCAAACAUUCAAACGUAAGAAAUGAAUAUGGCAUUGCUUUCGGCCGGCAAGUUUGACCCCAAAGGCAUCUUUUCUAUUAUAAAAUAGGGUAAAGAUAUUUGACAUUUCAGGAACUUUAGAGCCAUUUGCUAUCAUCUCUUUUGCAAAUCAGUAGAUAUUAUACAAACAAAAGAUAAACAAGAUCUCUUUCCAAUGUUGGUUGAAAGUGACAUUGCGGGGCCCGCGCUUCUAUUAAAUUAUCGUAUCAACAGAUUCUAGUUUGAGCACUCCAGUAAGGUUUGAUUUUCAAAAUUAGGCACAGCUUACUAUAGAUUCAUGCGGAAUUAAGAGUGGCGCAGCAGGAUAUAGACCCAUUGCUUCUUUGAGAAUGGCCUGUUAGUGUAUACACUAAAUUUUUUAUGUAUGUUUCAUUCACUUAUCCUUUUUUUCCCAGCUGAAUAUCUAGUUCAUUUUGAGCCCUUUUUAAAAUAUUAUGAUGGUUGGGAAACAAAGAGAGAAACCAUGUGAAUUUUAUUGUUAUGGUGUCUGUUGUAACUAAGAUGAGACCCUGCAAAAUUGUUAGUGUGCGUACGUUGAGUCUGCUUUUACAAAGACAUGCAAUGAUGCAAACAAAUGAAUUCUGAACCCCGCAAUUGAAUAAAAAUCGAUCGACUGGACUAAAUUGUAUGAUAAAAAUGAAAAUUUCCCUUAUUAACCGAUUGGGAAAAUACAGAAUAAUAAUAAUAAUUAUUAUUAUUAUUAUUUUGAUAAAUGACCUUGACGGUGGAGAGAGCUUCAUUAAUAAAAAUAAAUGAAAUUCUAUUACGCACAAAGGGACAUAGCGAGCCUUACGCUUUACUAGUCAUAAAUAUUUAUUAAACCGAUUAGCUGCAUGAAUAGAAACAGAAUAAUUAAAUAUUCGCAUCAAUUCACAAGUUACAGAUUCAGCUGCCCACGUUUGAAAAUCUCAUCAUCAUCAUCAUCAUCAUCAUCAUCAUCAUCAUCAUCAUCAUCAUCAUCAAUAACAUUCCGACACGUGAUGAGUACCAAUUAGUUCAACUAAUAAAAUAGGUUAGGAGUUGGAACCCACUUAAAGAGAUGGUUUACUCUUUCCAUUCUUCCUAUCCACUGAAUUGACAUCCUUUCCUACAGUCAUUCUUAAAACUUCAUUACGUGUGGUGUCUGUAAACCAUCUCCUCAUCUCUACCAACAGCACCGUAUCAGUGGUUUUGAUCUUAUCCGAAGACUUUUUUUUCUUUUGUUUUUUUGAUGAAUGACCAAGAUCCGCCUCUGAUUACAACAGAUACGGGAAGAGUUAAUAGAAGAAAAAUAUCCAAAAUGAAGAAGAAACUUUUCUCUUGAGUUUUUAUUCUCAUUUGUUUUCUUGAACUUGUGAUAACAUUAAGCAGCGUUACCUGUAACCUGAGUGGCAAGAUCAGAGGAAAGAAGCCUCCACUAGGACGUACAAUAUUGCACUCAAGAAAACUAUUCUGAUUUCUGCAAACAAGGAAAGCUAGCUUUAUAGCAUUUUCGGCAUUUUGCGUCUUUGCAAAAUGGUAUUGGAUUCACAGCUUAGUCAUGAUGGAUUCAGAGCUUAGUCGUGAUAAAAGUUCGUUUAAUACUAGAAAUUUAUGACUAAUGAUAAUUCGAACAUUUAUAUUCAACUAGAAAAGGCCUAAUGGGUAAGAGUAAACAAGAAAAAAACACACCAAUACUUGCCAUAAAAGUUUAUUAGAUAUAUUACAUCGAGAAUCAAUUUAGCCGUACAAAGAAGCAGAAAGACGUGGAGCGACAAGUACUUCAAGUGGUGUAGAUUUCUCUACGGUCAACCCUAAUCCCUCCCCCAUGUCCAAUGGUUCAUUUGAUGGGGUUGCAAUAUCAAAGCCAUGAAGUAAAGAAGCAAGUGUAAAUUGCAUAACUUGGAGGGCGAAUGAAACUCCAGGACACAUUCUUCUGCCACUACGAAAAGGUAACAAUUCAAAAUUUUGUCCCCUGACAUCAGUAUCCUUGUGCCUUGUCAAAAAUCUUUCUGGCUGAAACUUACAAGACUCUUCCCAGACAUGUGGAUCACGUUGAAGCUUCCAAACGUUGAUAAAAAGUUGUGUGCCGCUGGGAACAUUGUAACCACUUACUGUGCACUCUUCUAUAGACUCGUGUGGAAUUAAGAGUGGCGCAGCAGGAUAUAAACGCAUUGCUUCUUUAAGAAUGGCUUGUAAGUAAACUAAAUUUUUUAUAUCUGAUUCAUUCACUUGCCUUUUUGUGCCCACCUGAAUAUCUAGUUCAUUUCGAGCCUUGUUUAGAAUAUCAUGAUGAUUGAGAAGCAGGGAGAUAAUCCAUGUCAAUGUAACAGCUGUGGUGUCCGUUGCUGCUAAGAUGAGACCCUGCAAAAUUGGUAGUGUAUACAACGUUGUUAUGCUUUCAUGUAUAUGCAUAUUGCACUUGUCCACAAUGCAACCUAAUUAAAUUCCAUUAAAGACGAUAAGAAAAAAAAUCCAUUAAAGACUCAAUUUUUUUGGGUAUCUUUUGGCUUUUACUGACAGAUCAAAUCCACCAACAUAUUAUCAAAAACCUAUCCUAAAAUGUAGGUCCCAAUUGACUAAUGCAAUAAUGAACAGAUGACGAUUUCCUUGACUUUUGGUUCACCAUUUUACCCAAUCGACUGAUUGGGAGACAACAGAAUAAUAAAUAUUUUCAAUUCACAACUUGCAGAUUUAAUUGCUUUCAUUUAGAAAUCUCAUCUUGAAGAAUGAUGUAAACAACUAUCUGAAUGAUUAUAAGUGUAAAAUCGUUUAAAAGCAUAUAAUAUUCAAUUAAGAGAUUGAUACUACUAGUUCUUUUGUUUAGAUCUCUUGAGUGAAAAGAAGAAGUCCGAGCAAAGUCUUAUUUCAUUGAUAAGGAACAACCUUCCUACAACUUAAGACCAGAGUUUGAGCCUCAUUAAUGUGCGGUUAAUAUAAGUAAAAGAAUAAAAUUAAAAGAAGAGGUCUUGAUUUUUCAAACUCUAGAGGGGAUUGAGUCGCCCAUAGACUAAACCUAAAAGAAAAUUUUCGGUUAAGAGAGGCAUACCAGGCAAAUAGCUUUAUUGAUUGUAUCAACAUCACGACCAUAAUAUUGCUCUGUAUCUCCUAAAAUCGAAAGCAUCACAUACAUAAAAUCUUCUUCUUCUUGAUUCAUUUCCUGAGAAUCUCUCUUCAUCUUGUGCUCUUCUAACCAUCCUUGAACAACAACGUCUAAUUCUUUGGCAAUCUUCUUCAUUGACCUCUCAUCACCCCCUAUAUCCAACCAUCUCAAAAACGGCAAUGCAUCUGACACCACAAACUUACCACUCAUUUCAAAAAAUCUAGUUAAUAGUUCUUUCCAUUCUUCACUAUCCAUUGAAUUGCAUCCCUUUCCUACAAUCAUUCUUAAAACCACAUUACGGAUGCUGUCUGCAAGCCAUCUCUUCAUCUCUACCAACAACAUCUUAUUAGUGCUUUUGUUGUUGUCCCAUAACUGGUAUAACUCCUUAAAACAAGUCUUCAACUCGUACUCUCGUACAUGCUUCAGCUUCUCAAGCCGAUGGUUCGAGAGAAGCUCAAGUGUGGCUAUCUUGCGUGUCUCUCGCCAGUAAGAGCCGUAUGGGCUAAACCCAAACAUGGAAAAAUUGUAGCCUAAAAUCUCCAUGGCUAGAGUUUUUGGACGGCUGGCAAAGACUUUGUCGUGUGUAGUAAGACACUCUUUAGCCAUCUCCCAAUUACUCACAACUAAUGCUCGAUUUAUGCCCAUCUUGAUUGUGAAGAUUGGUCCAUACUUGUCAGCCAUGCAGCCCAACACCCUGUGAGGAGGUUCUGGCCCUCCUAAGAGGUGUAGAUGGCCAAUCACAGGCCAUGCUCCCCCAGCUUCUGGUGCUCCCCUCUUCUUCUUGCUUGUGUAUUUUCUAAGCAAAUUUCUUGAAACUGACAACGAGGUGUAUAGAAUGAUUAAAAGAGUGAUUAAAAUUGCUGCGACAGUACUUGUUUGAGACGAACCAAGAAUGUCCAUGGCUGCUACCACUAAAAUUUCUCGAGUGGCAGCAGGUGUAAAAUUUGGUAGCAGUUGCAAAAUUUCCUUAUAUUGAGUAAGCUUUUUUUUUUUUGGUCUUUUUUAGAAUUGAAUUGUUAUAAAUAAUAAGAAAAAUAACGUUGUGCUAUCAAUAAAGGUGGUCAACAGGCCGACGGGUACAUGUUCAUACAGUACGGCACGGCAUGAGCACGUUUCGGAAAGAUAAAUCGCACAGCAUGACACGCACGUGGCCGGGUAGGGCUCAAAUUUUUUGGUACGUGUGGCUUAAAAGCAAGACAUGCAAAAAGUCACGUAAUAAGCAUGUUUUAUUAGUAGGCUAGCACGCUAUCCGUGAGCCAUCAAUAGCACGUGAUCCAAAGUAUAUUAAAAUAAUUUUUUAAUAAAAAGUAAAAAUAAGUGUUAUGAUUUUACAAAUAUUUUAAAAUUAAAAUUUUAAUAUAUUUACUUAAAUUAAUUUAAGUCUUAGAUUUAAAAGAAUUCUAAUUGUUUUAUGUUUAUCAUUUAUUAAAUGAAUAAAUAAAUAUCAUAAUUUUAAUAAAUAAAGCUAUAACUAUCAUGAUUUUAUAAAUCAUAUAUCAAAAUUUUAUGACAAUUAAUAUUUCAUUUAUGAAAUCGUAACUUAGUUAACGGAGAUAUGUUUCAUUUGUGAUUUGUGAAUAAAAUAUUUUUCAUAUUUAUACACAAAAAAAUAAAAUUAUGAACGAAAUAUUUUUUUUAUUUUUUUAUUUAUACACAAAAACAUAAAAUUAAAAAUUGUAUUUUCAUUCAAUGGAGUUCAAGUCCAAUUAUAAUAUUAAUAGUUCAAAUAAAAAUUAGGUGUAAUUUACUUCGGUGUAGUUCAAAUAAUAUUGUUGUGUUAUAAUUGAAUUGGUAAUUGUGAAAUUAAAUAUUUAAAUAUAUAGUUGCAAAAUUAUGAUAAACUGAUAAUAAAAUGUUAAUUGUCCUUUUAAUAGUUAAUAAAAAUUAUUAUUGUUGUUGUUGUUGUUGUUAUUAUUAUUAUUAAAUAGGCUAAUGAGUUUGGAAGAGCAUGUUAGGUACAUGAGCUUAAAAAAACCACGCCAAAUAUGUGGGUUUAAAUAAACACGUGGACUUAAAGGAAAAAAAUUAAUAAGUCUUUUUUGGGUACGGCCCGAGCACAUCAUGUGUGGGCUCGUGCCAUGAGCUGUGCUUGGCUUAACAAAAAAAAUUGGGCACAGCACGGCGCGGCCCACUUGGAGGCUUUCAGUUGUUUCAAGGUGAUUGAAAAAAAAUGUAAAUAGAUAAAUUUAAGUAGAGUACAGUUGCAAUUCCUUUGAUACUAUUACAAUUAGAAAGUGUACAAAAGACAAAAUAGAGUUGUAAGCUUACGUACUAAAUUGUCAAAACUGGCAGCUAAAACGUUAUAUUUCAAACUUUGGAAAAUUGGCAGCACUAAUGUUACUGGUGAUGGUACUUGUUGAUUAGUUGAGACACACGUACCUAGGCCCAUUCAAAAGUUAAUCCAAGCCACAAUGACAAGUAAUGUGGAGCCGACGUAAUGAGCCCAAAGACAAAUGUUAUAGAAUAAAUUAUUGAGACAUUUGUGGUUGAUGUGAAGAAAAUUAUUAACAUGUCAGUCUCUAUCCGAAUAAUUGAGAGUAACGUACUUGCCAAAUAUUAAUUCUUUGUAUUCAGCACAGUCCAGAUAAUAAUUCUAUAUCCACAUGGUCCCCCAUAUUAAGUAAUUUAUUUAGUAUAUAAAGAUUACAAGAAAAUUUUAUAAUACCAUGAUUAAAAUAUUACGGUAUUAAUACCAUGAUAAAUAUAAAUUUAAUAAAUUAUAUAUAAAAAUAGUUAAAAAGUAGAAUAAAUAAAUUAAUAUAAGAGUGGUAAAUUGGUAUUUUAGAAUUACAUACAAAACAAACACUUAUAAAAAUAACAUAAAAUUUGUAAAUCAACAUUAAACUUUAAUUAUGCAAAAAAUAGUUUAUUUAUUUAAUUUAUCAAGCAAAGAAAAAGUUCUCUCAUCAUUGAAAAUAAAAAAAUUGCAUUGAAAAUAAUUGGAAUAAGUUUUAUUGAAUUGUUAUAAAUAUAAAUUCUAUAUUCAUCCAGUGCAUUUAUAAUUUUUUUAAAUUUUCUAUCAUAGUAUUUGUUUACUGCACAUAUUAAUUAAGAAAAAUUAUUUUUUUUGAUAUGGAUCAAGCCAAAAAGAAAAUAAAAGGAUAUUAUUAUAUUAUUAGACAUAUAUGUUAUAUCUAUAAAAUUGGACAUAGUUUCCAAUUUUAUACAUAUUUGAUGUAGUUUCAAACUUUACUUCUACUUGUACUUAAAGAUUAUUUAGGGUUGCUAUCGAGAAGAUUUAGAAUGAUGCAAAAUCAUGUCUUCUUACAAACAAUUUAGAAAACAUGAAAAGAAUAGUUUUUAAAAUCUAAUUUUGAGAUAAAUUCUAUUCUUAAUAAAAUUUCAAAUAAAUCAUCAAAUAUAUUACAUAAAUUCAAAACUAUCAUUAUUCAAAUUAGAAAUAAAAUCAAUAAAUAUAUAAGGUAAUCAUUAUUCUAAUGAGUUUCUAAUUUACAUUUGUAAGUUUUUUAUUUUUUUUCAAAUAACUCUUAUAUUAAUUUACUUAUUUUACAUUCUAUUUAUAAGUUAUAUGUUCCAUUUACAUAAUUUAUGUUUUAUUUUGCAUUAAGUAUUGAUUUGCAAGCUUCAUGUUAUAUUUAUUAGUUUUUAUUUUGUUUACCAAUUUACUAUUCUUAUGUUAAUUUACUUAUUUUACCCCGCAUUUACAAGUCUUAUAUUCCAUUUACGUAAUUAAUAUUUUAUUUUGCACUUAAUGUUAAUUUAUAAGUUUUAUGUUAUAUUUAUUACUUUUUAUUUUAUUUACAAAUAAUACACCAAUUUACUACUCUUACGGUAAUUUACUUAUUUUACCCUCCAUGUACAAGUCUCAUAUUUUGUUACAUAAUUUACAUUUUAUUUUACACUUAAUGUUGACUUACAAGUUUUAUGUUACAUUGGUUAGUUUUUGUUUUGUUUACCACUAAUACAUCAAUUUACCAUUCUUAUGUUAAUUUAAUUAUUUUACCUUCCAUUUAUAAGUCUUAUGUUUAAUUUACUUUUAUGUUUUGUCUUAUACAUGUUGAUUAACAAGUUUUAUGUCAUAUUUGUGAGUUUUUAAUUUGUUUACCAUUGAUACACCAAUUUGUCACUCAUAUGUUAACUUAUUUUUUUACCUUCCAAUUGCAUCAUUUAUAUUUUAUUUUACACGUAAUAUCGAUUUAUAUGUUUUAUAAGUUUUUGUUUUAUUUACCAAUAAUACAUCAAUUUACCAAUAUUAUAUUGAUGAAACGGAAGCGUAAAAGGGUUGAAGAUAGUUGAAACAAAGUUUAUGAAUAAAGAAGGUGUCAUGACCUAACCCAGACCUAACAAGAUAUUGUCUGUGUUGAGCCUUAACAAGGCCCGCACGGUUUUGUUCAUGGGGCGCCCAUAUACCCCAAAACGUGUCUUGCUAAUUAAGGUGUGGAUAACCCCUUAUAAACCUGACAUGUCUCUCGUACUUUGCCGAUGUGGAAUUUUCCUAGGGUGUUACAUACACGCCCCUUAGGAACUCAACGUCCUUAAUGAGGUUUGCCCCACCAUUGCUCAAGAGGACACGCGAAGUUGCUCUAAUACCAUAAUGUCAUGAUCCAACCCAGACCUGACAAAAUAUUGUUUGUUUUGGGCCUUAACAAGGCCCGUACGGUUUUAUCCCUGGGGCACCCAUACACCUUAAAACGCUUCUUACUAAUUAAGGUAUGAAUCACCCCUUAUAAACCCAACAUCUCUCCCGUACUUUUGCCGAUAUGAAAUUCGCCUAGGGUGUUACAUAUAAGAAGAGUUUAUCUCUCCACUGCCCCCUAUUCCCCUGGCACACACACGCCUCCAUAAGUCGAGUGACGGGGUUCAGACCGAGAGAUUUUGUCCUUUAAACCCCAGGAACAAAACCAUGCAGGCCUUAUUAAGGCCUAAAGCGAAUAAUAUCUUGCUUGAAUUGCUAAGGAUCCAAUAAGUCCAACAUUGAUUCCUUCGGACGUGUCAAUUGGAAAAAUGCGGCCAUAGUGACUAGGAUGGAUAUCUCGUACCCGAAAACUGGUUUGGGUUGGGUCAUGACAGAAGGUUAUUAAAUAAUUCUAAAUAGUACAAACUAGGGUUUUACACCCAUUUGUAUAAUAACCCUAAAUAUCUCGAUUCUAUCAAAAUAGGCAAAUCUAAAAUAUUAUUUCAUAAUAAAAUUCUCCUCAUCAAAAUAAGAAAAGGAAAAUGAACGGCACUCAAAUCUAGGUUCUAGAAAAAAGAUAAAAAUCCUAGAAAAAUUAGAAAAAAUAGGAAAAAAAACUUAAAACUAGAAAAUGACCAAGAAAGAAGUGAAAUGUUUAGCUCCGUUUUGGGCUAGAUUCUUCUUAUUGUAAGCUUCGAAAUGAUAUAUUAUACAUAAAAAAAGGAUACAUGUAGCUCAAUUUAUGACCUCCGGAAUGUACCUUACACAAUCAUUGUACAUCAUAUAUUGAUUUACUUGUUUUACUUGUUUUACCUUUCAUUUAUAAGUUUUAUGUUUCAUUUACACAAUUUAUGUUUUAUUUUAUACUUAAUGUUGAUUUAUAAGUUUUAUGUUACAUUUGUAAGUUUUUGUUUUAUUUACUAAUAUAUACAAAUUUAUCAUUCAUGUGUUGAUUUAUUUAUUUUACAUUCCACUUACAACUGUUAUGUCUUAUUAUUUAUAUUUAAUCUCAAUGUACAAGUUUUAUGUUAAAUUCACAUGUCUUAUGUUUUAUUUAUAUAAUUCAUGUUUAAUUAUGGUAUUGAUGUCCUGAUUUUAAUUAUAGCAUUGUUGUGAUUAAAAAAGUCAACUACAUCCUAAGAUUAAAAAUAGUUAUGUAUAUCUUCAAAAUUUCAAAAAGUAUUCUUUUUUUAAUCAUAAUACCCUUUAAAUAUGAUAAUUAGAAGAAACUGAUUUUAAUAUUUUUAAUAAAUAAGAAUAUAAUAUAAAUAAUUUAAUUUUUCAGUAGAGUAAUAAUAUUAAAAUAAUUUGAAAAGUUAAAUAAUUUGAAAAAUGUAAAAUACUAUAGUUAUUUUGAUGAAGUAGAUAAUAUAUUUGUAUUUAUUAUAAGGAUCUUAAAUAAAUGUUUGAGUUAAAUACAUUUGACAAUUAAUAAAAGACAUCUCAUGUAUUAAGUAUUAGAAUUAUUUUAAACAAAACAUUCAAAAUAAUUUAAAUUUUUAUAUAUCUAUUAUAAUAUUAUGUUUUCUAUUUAUUUUAAAAUUUACUUUAAAUAUAACAAAAUAUGUUUAAUAGAUUGUAAAAUAUUAAAUUUUUUUAAUAUUGAAAUUAUUUUAAAAUUUUUACACUAUUAUAUUUAUAUUAUUAUAUUUCUAUUUAUAUAAAACAUUGGAGUCAAAUUUUUAGGUCAAUAAAGUUAAAGAAUAUUGUAUCAAAAGGGGAUCUAGGUAUCCCUUAUUGAAAACAUUGGGGUCUUAGUGAUUGUUUCCCCAAACUUUGGGGGUGUAGAUAUCAUUUUUCCUAUCUAUUAGAUUCUAAUAUGCAACAAGCAUUGCACAUGUCUAUUUUUUAUGUUAAUAAUAUAAGGGAUUUUAUCUAUUAGAAGUUUUUCAAUGAAGGUUCCCACAUUUUAUUAAAAUGUGGGAAUGACUUUUAUAAUAUUGUAAAUGAGUUUUACAAUAUUACAAAAUUCGUUACUACAUUUUAAAUAAAAUGUAGGAACCCUCAGUAGAAAAACAUUCUUUAUUUAUUACGGUCAGUAAUAUGACUGAUGAUAUAUAUCCAGCUAGUUUUUUUUUUUUUUUUUUUCCAACACAUAUAUCUUUGCAAUUAGAUGUUUAUUGAUAUACAUACAAUUUGAAAUCUAUUUCUGAAAUCUGUUGGAACUAACUAUUUCUGUUCUAUUGUAAUAAAAUCUAAAUUUAUACCUCCGUGUUUGGGAGGAAAUUCUACCCGUACCACAACUUGUCAAAUUUAUACUUCUACUAAUAUCGUGAUAGAAAUUUUACUCCUAUCUAAUUAUGGGAAUAGAAUAAGAGCCUUGGCGGCCACCCCUCAAUGUUUGAUGAUAGGAGAGGUACCACUAGUUAUUAUCUAAAUUGCGGCCGGUUAAUUUUUUUUAGUAUUACUAGUUCUUGGCACUUUAUUCAUUAAAAUGCGUUCUGAUAAGAUUGCUUACUUAAUAUAUUGAUUUUACGAGAAUCCAUUCCUUAUUUUUUUGUUUUAUUCUAUUUUAUUAGUUUUUUUAUUCCUUGCCUCUGCUUUUCUACAAAGUGAUUAAGAUAGAGUUUCAUAUUGAUGGUGACAAUCGAAUCAGUAUUUUUUUUUUUCAACUUUAUUGACAAUUAAAUUAACUUGUUUCAAUAAAUUAUGAAUGUAAGGAAAGGCAAGGAGAGGAAAAAGAGAGAGAGAGAGAGAGAGAGAGAGGAGAGGAUCCUAUCCUAAUUUUAGACACAUCCAUUUGAUCAAAAUGUAUGCAAUAAACACAACAUUGAUUACGGUCAAACAAUUUCACCUAAAGGUAUUUUUUCUAUUUAAAAAAAAUUUAAAAUAGUAUCAUAAAUAAAAAUUCUUAAGUGCGGGCACCUUUUUUUUUUUUUAAUUUUAAAUAUGAAUACGUUAUUGAGUAUGAUUUAAUAAAGUUAGUGUUCAAUUCAGUAUGAAGCCAUAUAGUUUAGUAGCAUAUAUAUAUUGACUUUAUUAAAUCAUAUAACUUAAUAACAUAUUCCUAUGAAAAAAAUAAGGUUAUCCACGUGAGAAAAUGACUCGUAUCAUAUACUUUUGACAAUAUAAGAACUUAGAGGCAUUUGCCAUCUUUUCUUCUGCAAAUUAGUAAAGAUUAUAUAAAAGAUAAACGAUAUUUCUAAUUGUUGAAUUAUAUAAUCCACAACAGAGCCAAUUGGUUCAGACAUGGUACCCACCUCUAUUAUUAUCCAGUCAAAAUAGUGCAAGAUAUUAAUUACUCUAGGGAAAAAAAUAAUUCGCACCCCAAUUUUUUUUUAAAUAAUCACAUAGAUUCUUUGAAUUUUAUAAAUGACCAGCCAAACCUUUUUUUUUACAAAUAUACCCUUUGAUUAUAAUAACUCAAAAAUUAAUUUUAAAUAAAAUAUUCUUUAAUAAAUACAUAUAUAGUAUUAAAAUAUAUCAUUUAAACAAUAUUUUAAAAAUUAAUAACUCAAAAAUUAAUUUUUAAUAUUAUAAAUUAAAAUAUAUAAUAUAAAUUUUUUAGGUUAUUUUCAAUUUUAAAAAUAUUUAUUAUAAUUUUAAUAAAUGAUUGCUUGUUGCUUUGAGACAAUUUGCGGCUAUGAUUUAGACGAAUCCGGCAUGUGACAGGCUUAAUUUUGUUAUAAAGCGCACGAUUAUCUGGGUAGAAACGUGUCUUUAAAUUAAGGGCUACAUUGUUGAAUCUCCUGAUCAGAUUCAUGUUUAACUUUAGUUCAGAGCAAGUAGAACACCGUAAGCUUCCUGAACAAUCGAAUAGCUGAACAAAUUCCAGCUGCUGACAUGUCAAAGUUAGUUAUACAUGACAGCUGAAAUUGUUACAAACUUUAUAUUAAGUAGACUGAUCGAGUAGCUUCUGUGGCUAGUUAGUUAGAUUCAUUAGAGCUACUAAAUAAGCUGCAUUGUAAUCAUUCCUUUUGAACUGAGCUAACAAUUGAAUCUAGCAUUUUUUCCAGAAUAUUCAAGCUCUUUUUGUUAUGCUCUUUCAUUUUCUUGCUCGCCGAACACUCAUCAUACAUUUUCUAAGAACUUGGAUGAAAAUGGCGGAUACCCUGUUCCUUCAAUGUCAACACUCUCGUGUUUAGCUUUAGUUUAUAAAUCCACUUCACUUGAGUGACAAUAGCAUAUGCCCAGUUCCUUCAAUGUCAAAACAUAAUAGCAGGCUUACAAGUAGAAGUGCUUUUCCUGGUUUUGCUUUUUAAUCUUAUUACUCCUUGCAGUCUUGUCAUGUUGAUUGCUAUAAGUAACAAAUUACCUUUUUCCUUUAUAAUCUUACAGCCAAGUGAAUCCAAUACAUAUGCUGAUAUAGAGGCAGUUUACCAAUUAGAAUAUCUAAUUACCCUUUUCCUUUAUAACUCAACAAUUAUCUUGCACAAGAUUUCUAUUCAUUUUUUCUUCUUCUUUUAUAAUUUUCCUUUAUAACUAAUUAUCUUUUUCCUUUUAGCAUAUCAGCAUAUGAUAUGCCUGCUUUUUCCACCUUUCAGCUAUAUUGAGAGCCUACGUCUUGUCUAUAGUAUUAUUCACUUUGCAGGAGUCAAGUGUUUGUGAUUAUGCUUUAAGUGGAUCGAGAGAUGACGACUGGUCGCUCUGCAGACUUGGUUUAUGCUGUUUUGCAUUAUAUUGUGUGUCAAAUUUCUCUUUAGACAUCUAGUGUUCAAGUCCAAUUAGAAAGUUAAGAUUGCAGCUGUUGUGUUUUUCUGUUGAUUGUCCUUGCAGUAAUGUGUAUAUGUGCAUAUGUUCUGUUUGCUUGUUUCCAAUGUUCUUGCUGUUCUUAAAGGUGUUUAUGAAAAUAUUAUUUCUGAUGGAAAAAAUGAUGCCUUGGGUUUCUGUUAGGGCGAGCAUUUGUUCGCUCGACUGAGGGAAUUGAUGAGGCCUAUGAUUCACAUUCCAUACUGUAAAAUCCUGGGCACCUUAAUGCUGAUCACAAUUAAAUACACUUGUAAUGCUGAUUGAAAAGGGAAACUGGCCCACUUAUAACAAAAUUGUGAAGAAUCAGAUUCUGUUUUAAGGGGUUAAAUGCAAAGAAUUAAUACUUCUGUGAUCUUUGUGCAGAUUGACUUAAGUUUGAGGAUCAAUUUGCAAUUUAGUUGCUGACGUGUCUAAAAGUUCGUUAUGUUUGUUUGGCUGCUUAUGGAAAUCUUUAGAACUGACUUUAUAAACAGAGCUGAUGCGUAGCAUAUGGUGUAUGUUACUUUUCUCUUUCGUUUUUCGUCCAAUUUCUGUGAUUCUAAAAUCUUUGUAAAGCUUGUAAUCUCCUUUACAAGAUUUGACAGAUUUGUAAUCGAUUUGAGCAAUAAAAGAGUGCCAUUUUUCCCUUUGAAUUGUGUUGUUUGGUGUUGGUGUUCAAGAUCUGGUUUCUAAUCUUGUAAGUGGGUUCUCGGUUUUUGCUUCAUUCUUGGAAAUUCUUCUUAGCUUCUGUUGUAUUCAAACUCAACAGGUGGUAUCAGAGCCAUAGGGGGAUCGCAACAAUGUCACUUCCAAAGCACAAGAUUGAGAAAUUCCCCAUUGGUGGUGAUUUCUCACUUUGAAAGAUGAAAAUGAGAGCUCUCCUUGUUCAUCAAGGAUUGGAGUCAGCCUUAGAAGAAGAAGAUCCAGAAACUGUUGGAAGUUCUAGAUCUAGUGAAAAGAUGAAGCAUAUUCACAAUAGAGCCCAUAGUACCCUGAUCUUGAGUCUGAGUGACUCAAUUCUGAGGGAAAUCUCAGAUGAUAAAACAGCUCUGGGCAUUUGGAACCAAGUGGAGGCUUUGUGCAUGAAGAAAUCACUUGCUCACAGACUAUUCUUAAAGAAGAGGCUGUAUACCUUUUCUAUAAAAGAAUGUGUGUCAAUACAAGAGCACAUUGAUGUUUUUAACAAGAUUAUUCUUAAUCUCGAGGCUGUGUGCUUUAAAGGGUUUUUUUGAAGCAGUUUUUAUGGUCAAGAAUCAAACUGAAUCAAAUCUGCAAGGUGGAGAUUGUGAAGAAUCAGAUUCUGUUUUAAGGGGUUAAAUGAAAAGAGUUAAGACUUCUGUGGUCUUUAUGCAGAUUGACUUAAGUUUGAGGAUCAAUUUGCAAUUUAGUUGCUGACGUGUCUAAAAGUUCGUUAUGUUUGUUUGGUUGGCUGCUUCUGGAAAUCUUCAAAACUAGCUUUAUAAACAGAGCUGAUGUGUAGCAUCUGGUGUAUGUUACUUUUCUCUUUCGUUUUUCGUCCAAUUUCUGUGAUUCUAAAAUCUUUGUAAAGCUUGUAAUCUCCUUUACAAGAUUUGAUAGAUUUGUAAUCGAUUUGAGCAAUAAAAGAGUGUCAUUUUCCCCUUUGAAUUGUGUUGUUUGGUGUUGGUGUUCAAGAUCUGGUUUCUGAUCUUGUAAGUGGGUUCUCGGUUUUUUGCUUCAUUCUUGGAGAUUCUUCUUAGCUUCUGUUGUAUUCAAACUCAACAAAAACAAGGAAAAUCGCACCUGGGGACUUAAAAGGAUCCCCUUUUUCCUGUAAUAGAUUCAGGGUCUGGCUUUUUUUUAUAGAUGUUUUUUGUAACUAUUAAUAAGUGAUGGAAGAAAACAAGGGAUAAUGAUGCAUCAAGUGUAAUUUUGAAUGUGAUGCUGUUGGUUGCAGGCUUCUUUAUUAUUAGUUUCAGGCUGGAAUUAAUUGCAUCCAAGAGAGUGACGCUCGGCUUGUGUACCUAUCAUAUUGAGUUUUUCUAGUUUCUAAAUUUGGUCAAUUUUAUUGUGCUAGUCAAGUGGGCUAGAAUAAUAUUGGUCAAAGUGACAUGCUAUAAUUAUCAGGAACUAUUAUCUACAGUUAUCUCCUCAAUGUGUAUUGCAUCCUAGGUUUGAUCAUCAUAACUUCUAAUAAAUAUUAAUAUGGUUGAAUGAUAGUCUCAAAGCUUGGGCUCAAAUUAUGGUAAGCACCCGUAGUGUCAUGGAGCAGCAGCCUCAGGCUUACGUGGCUAGCAAAUAUUGGGGUAGUGAGAUUAUGAGUUGCACCAACCCUCCCCUAAUUCUAAGCCUAGCAAAUGUACUUGUAUUCUGUGCUGCAUGCGCAAAUGUGCCACCUCUCGCAACAUUUAUUGAUUAUUUAGUAUCAUCUGUUUAAGUAACAUUAAUCUCUCUUUCAAAACAUGCACCGCCAAUGCAAUUAUAAAGCUCAUCAAAGGAUAUAAUAGUAAUGUAAAGCCUUGUAGGCGGUUUUAGCUGCUGGAAUUUAGUCCUCUUUCAUAAUACCACCAAAUUUUUGAAAAGCUUCCCUAAAAUUCUCGUAAACAUGUAUUAAUAAAUACCACAAACAUAUCCUUUGAAGUUUGCCUUUAGAGCUUCGUAUCAAUCGAUUUGUUUUUCUACACUACUUUGACAUGCAUCGUGGAUGAAUUGCUCAUUUGUAACUAAUGAUGGUUGAUUUAUCUUUAUUAGAACUGGCUUCUUGAUGACAAAUGAUUAAAUGGGCGUGGUCCACAAUUUGACAGGGAACAGAUGAUGAUGUUGUGAACUGGUUUCAUGGAAAUAAACUCUGGAAAAUGGCAAGAGAUCUGUUAGAGCCUUUGUGGAUUAAAGGAGGAGGGCACUACAACUUGGCGCUAUAUCCAGAUUACAUCCACCACCUUUGCUGGUUUACUCAAGAAAUGAAGAACAUGAACACUAAAAUCUGACCUAAUAAGAUUUGGCAGAAACUCCAUCUACCAAUAAUGUCCAACGCCAACGCCGGGUCUGCUAACAGGUUCUGUAGGAUUAAAUGCUGCCGACCCAAAUGCCCUGAAUGUCCAAAACUUAGCCGCACGAAAUGUUGCUGGAAACCUAAAUGGCCAAAAUGUUGGAUACCAAGCUGUGUCAACUGUUGUCGGUGGCCCAAAUGACCAAAAUGCUUGAGACCCUGCUGCUGCAUUCCAAAAUGUUUGAGACCCUGCUGCU